UUCAACAACCUAUUAAUAUUUUUGCAAUUUGUGGUUCGCAACCUGUCGAUGGAUCCUUUGAAAGAGUCUGUUGGGAGUAUCUGAUUAUCUAAGUAGUUCCUUUUCUAGUUACCAAAGAAAAAGUUUAGCUUUGUAUUUUCCGUAAUUACUGUUGAAGGCCCUUAGCCAUAUGUUAAUGUGCUUCGCUUGACCAAUUUAAGGCUGCCUGUCUUAGAUUCAUAGGUAACUAAAUUUUAAGUUACUUUUGCAUUCACUUGUACCAUUGACCCUUGUCAGCCAAGGGCUACUGACCUUUGCUGGUUCUCAGUCUAAUGUGGGGUGCAGAAGAUAUCUAAGGUUGGCUAGUCCCCCUCAGCCCUUGUGAAACUCUUGCUUUUGGGCUUCUUUCACUUUACCCCUCUGCAUAGCAUUCCUUUGUUCCGUAGUCUACUGAGCAAAAUCCUUGCGAUUUACACUUUAUAAUGAAUGCUAGUACAAUGAAAUCUCUAGGUCUAAGUUCUUAACCUUGCUAAUAAGGACCAAAAGCUGAUCUAGUAAGCCCUUGACAUAAGUAAAAACGUGUCACCCACUGCAUAUUCUCAUGUUUAAGUACAAUAAAUGCAUUACUUUUCUACUUUUCCAAUUAAACUUCUAGUUACAGGUGUUCUACUUUGUAUUUUGGAACCUUCCAGGUUAUUGCUACCAUUUGUGAAGAGCUACCACCAGAUAGUGUCAUGCUAUUGUACCUGUCAGCUACAGGUAAACUUUGAUUCAUACUUUUUUACUUGAUACAAGAAAAACAUGCACUAAUAUUUUGAAGUAUGGUGUUUGUGAUCAUUUCAGGGAAUGCAGGUCAUGGUAGUGCUUCAUCCAGCGAAAGCUCAGGAAGUUCAAGGAAAUCUUCAAAGUCUAACCACGGUUACCAUGAAAAGAGUAGCUAUCUGCGAGAUAACCAUAUUAAUGGCAUGGGCGACUCAAGUCACUUUUUUGAAAGUUGUUUGUGGUUAGGUCCUAGCAGAGAUGGAGGUGGGUUUUAAUGGCAAAAUCCUAUUUGCUUGCUUUUAAAAAUCUGUAGCAAUAGAUCCAAUUAUUUUCGUAUCAUUCACUUUUACUAAUGCUUGUUUUGUUUUCAGGUCCAAAUAACCUGUAUCCUGGUGAUAUAAUUCCUUUUACAAGAAGGCCUAUUUUCUUGAUCGUAGAUAGUGACAACAGCCAUGCAUUCAAGGCAGGUUUGUCAAAACUUUGUCUGUUACUUGUUCAACUCAUCUGGCUUAACGUUGACCUGUGGAAUCCGGUUCAGAUCGUUUAGUUUGUCUAAGUGACUCGCCGGAGAAGUAUGGGAUAUUUCAGAUGUUAGCAUCUGGUUUAGAUCUUCAUUUGCACCCAGAUCUUCAUUUGCACUGCUCCUUUUGAUCUUUCAGGAUUUUUAAUCUUUGAUGUCUACAUUAAUCCUUUCUCCCAAGUAGGGGUGGCAAUGAGCUGAGUUGAGCUCGAAUGCUGGUGUACUCGAGCUUGAGCUCAAAGUAAACUUCCUGAGCUCGAGCUCAAGCUUGAUGAACUUUAAAUUUGAAGCUCGAGCUUGACUCGUGUAAAAUAUAAGGAGCUCAAGCUCACUUGAGGAGCAAAUUGAGGUUGAGCUUGAAAAUGGUAAGACAUGUGAUUUGUUUUUAGGAGUGUAGGUUUUUAGGUAAUUUAAUAAUUAUAAAAAAUUAUAUAUAUACACACACACGAUGCUCAAAAAGCCCUGAGCUUUUGAGCAGAAUAUUUGAGGGCUCGAGUUCCACUAGAUAAUGGACUCAAGUAGCUUGAGCUUGACUCGAGCCCGGUCGAGCUCAAAAUUGACCAAGCUAGAGUCGAGCUUUUGAUCUAGCAGCUCAAUUUGUUGCCACCCCUACUCCCAAUGGCCCAAAAGACUCCUUAAUUAUCUCUGACCUUGUAGGAGGCUUAAAGUGUGUAACAUUUCAGUAUAUACUUGACAGGGUGUUGUAUUUGAGUGCUUUCCUAUUCCGUAUAUUUUUGCACUUUUUCAGAAACCACCAUAUCCCCCUUCCUUUUCCUCCCUUGUAUGUUGCUGUCAAGUCAAAACAUCCAGGUUAUCUAGCACUAGCUCCACUAGAAGUACCUAAAGUCAAACUUGACUUGAGCCUUGUUAGCUUCCGGCUUGAGCUGUGCUCCUGAUACAUUUUGUUACUGCUUGACUUGACUACUCAAUUGGAUUGAUCAUUUGUGUGCCUGAACUGAACUCAAGCUUGACUAUAAUCGAGCAGAUAUGAGCUUUGAGCCAAAUUGAGCCUAAGCUACUUGUUAGCUGCUCAUUACUGUUGUGCUGGUUUUGUUUUUCUUUUAAAGGCUUGUUAUCAACUGAAGGUGCUCUUAAAUUGAAAUGCUAUUACAUUGUACUGCUUUAUAUUCUCAUUUGACUGCUAGUUUGGAGUUGGAGUGAGAUAUACUUAUUUUCUGUUCCGCCUUUUUAAAUUGCUGACAUACCAAUUGCUCUCAGGUUCUACAUGGAGCAGAAAGAGGAGAAACACCUGCUUUAUUCCUUUCUCCCCUGAGACCAUCAUUUAAGAACCCAGCUGACAGUGACACAAUGCAUUUUGGAAGCCAGUUCACCUUGUUUCUAACUGCUCCUUUUCAGGCUUUCUGCCAAUUAGUUGGGUUCUCCUUAUCAGAUGAUGAUGUGGUGGGUGAGAUACAGAAAUGGAACCUCUAUAUUGUGGCUUACUAGUUUUCUGCAUUCAUUUCUUGUUUCUGUUUUUGGUUUUUUGUGCAUUAAUUUCUUGUUUCCUCUUUUAGGAUGUCCGUACUGAUGCUGACAACAUAAUCUCCACUGCAUUCUCUGAGUGGGAGGUAAUCCUUUGCACAUCAACAAGCCUACAUCUGGUCUGGGCUCAAGUUCUGUCUGAUCAUUUGCUUCGGCGUCUAAUUCUUAGGUCGGUAUAUAUAUACGGCUGUGCUUGAGAAUCUUUGUUUGUUGGUUACUUGUGAAGAAAGUGCAACUUUCCUGUGUAAUCAGUCACGCUUUCCAGUUCUCCUCCACAAAAAAAUUGUGAGAUUUCAGUAGAUAUUUUGGUUAAUGAGUAGAAUUCUUACCAUUCUUCUAUGGCUCCAUAAAAUUGUUUACUAGUAAUUAUCUGAAAUUAUUGAUUUGGUUGUCUUUGGAUCUCAUCCACUUGAUGAGAUUGUUGCGUCAAUUAAUAUCUUCUCCCUAACCAACAUUUAACCAAUUUCACAAGAUAUCUUGGAACAAUCAUUCAAUUGACAAGUACUUGGAAGCAUUUACCCCACAAAAUCAAAAAAAGAGUAAUUAGAUGGAAAAUACCAGUACACUAUUGACAUGCAUUAACAGCUGUAACUGGUUUUCACGAGAAAUCCCAGUUUGUAGCUGAAUGGUUCAAAGAAGGGGUGGCUUAUGGAGAGAAUGAGAAAAUGCUUGGGGUUAAUACUUUUGUACUUUAUUUGAGCUUGUGAGAUGGACUGAUUUUUUAUUUGAUCAUUGUUUGAAUGUGGAUUAUGACUGAUAUAAGGUUCAAUAUCUGCUUGGCAGAUUUAUUUUCUGCAGGGCUGUGCUGACAUUCUUUUGCUUACGGGAGAUGAGCGACCAGUAUUUGCCCGUUUGCUUACCUGAAUUUCCCACCUCUCUCUCUCCCUCCUCUGAGGUGGUGUUAUCAGCUGUCUUUCGAAUUGCAAAACACCUCAAGGUUGAAAGGUGUUUUAAUUUCCACGGUACAAGUUAAGGACCGAAAUUGUCAAAUCCAAGAAUGUACGAAAGGUAUACCUGCACUGUCUAUUAGCGUGGAGACUUGCCCUACUUUGGUGUCUUACAAUGGCUCUCGAAAGUUUGCAGUGUUGGCUUUUUUGUGAUGGGCUGAAGGGAGAUGGCACCAUUGGUCAGAUUUGGCCAAGAAGAUUGUGGGGUUAAUUGUUUUUGCUUGUGCUAUGGAUAUGAUCUAUACGCCAUGUGCAAAAAUAUUCUGGAUUUCAUUGUUGAUGUCGCUGUUGGGUUCCGUUUGUUGAUGGGAGUUUUUUAAGUGUUCAUUGUUAAGCACAGUGGUACAGUAGCUAGCGGUAUUACCCGGGGGGGGGGGGGGGUGUAGAGUUUUCAAUACAGUGGCGAAUUUAUUCAAAUAUCUUGUAAAAUAGUAGCAGGCAGAGAGUGAAUAGGUUUUUUUUUGGGGGGGGAGGUGGGGUGUUUAAAUUCUUUCAUUUUCCCAUUCAAUACAUAUGAAGUUCACAUGGUAAGCAGUUGUACAUGAAAAUAGAGUAUUUCCAAAAGACCCUUUUGUCUUGUUGGAUGAUUUUUGAGCUACGAUUCGUUAAAAUUUUCUGGAUCUGUUCUGUAUCUUCAGAUAUUGGCAACAUAUUUCAUAAUUUGGCUCUUCGAUGACUGACUACAUCCAGAAAACCAUCCACACCACACAAGAAUUCAUUCACGCUGUUCAUAAUUCAUUGCAAUGGCAAUCUCCGCUGGCAUGAUUUUGUGGUUAUGAACUGAUCUGGGGUCUGAAGCCAUCAAAUCUUUGAUCCCUGUGACAUUAUUUAUGGUUGAGUGCCCGAAAGGCGUGGACACAAUUGGUCACGGGGCGCCUAAUGCCAACUUUCCCGGCUUUAGUAGUUGGGCAUGCAUGAAAUCGUCUUAUAAGUGCAGCAGGAAUCGUCUUAUAAGUAGUGUUUAAUAACAUCAUCAAUAUUAAUCACAACUAGCGGUAAGAACAUGUCUUGGGCCAAUCCUUCAAUUUCCAACAACAGCGACUUACGAAUGAUGGGCUACUGUCAACAGUCAGUACUGGGCCAGGCCUACCAGAUGCAGUGUCCACUUUUUUUUUUUGGUUAAACAAAGGGCCUGGUGGUCCUGUGGACCUUAGUCGUCGGAAUUUGCUCCUCCAUAUAGACCAAUCUUGUGGUCCUUGAGGAUAGCUCCAAGAAACCUUGUAAGUUUUCACUUAUACAUGUGAGAGAUAGGAAGGUCAUUAAAAAAUUUAUUUAUAAAAAAUUUAAAAAAUUUUUAGAAGAAAAUGGCUUUCCAAAUAAAAUAAUAAAUUAACUUUUUAUACAUUAAUAAUGUAAUAAUUUUUUUUAUACUAACAAUCAUAAAUCAAAGUUACACGAAAUAAAAAAAUUAUCGAUCACCAUUAUUACAUAAGUUUCUAGUCUACUACUUGGAACAUUGCAUGCUUCUCGUCUAGCCAUUUUUUUUGUUUUUUUUUUCGGGUCCAUCUUUAUUUGUUUCUCCUUUAACAACUCUUACCUAUCAAACUAACCAGAAUAUCUAAAAAAUAUAUUUCUACAACUUUUAUUAAGGUUAUAAGAAAUUUACAACUUUUUGGCCCGACCGUGAAUUGGGCAUAAAUUAUGACACCCCAAUUCUAAUUCCGAACUAGUCAAAGGGCUCUUUACAUAAUAAGUAAAAAUGAACAAAUCAAAUUCAAAUCUUACUAAAACAAGUUUUUGAUCUUUAACUCGAUCCUACUUAAACCCAUUUCAACCAAUAGGACUCAACAAUUUCCCUUUCUCGAUCCGGACCUGCACCUCAAACUUCAAAUCUGAUCCGUCAACUUCAGCACAGAAAACACAACAGACGCCUUUAUUAACCGUCGGAUACCGUACCCAAAAAAGCACACGUCCAAUAAAUCUGGACCGUCCAAUCCCAUCAAAAGCCGACACCUCAUCAGCUAUAUAUACCCAUUAACCUCUUCUACUUGCAAAUUUUCCAUUUGAUUGCCCAAAUUUUACAGAGAGAGAGAGCUUUGGUCUUCCGAGAGAGAGAGAGAGGGUCUUCUUUUGAGAGGUUUGUUGUACUUCUUCUUUCUUCUUUAGAAAUUAAUAUAAUUUAUUUAAUAGUUUUGUUGGUUCAUUUUUGGUUGAUUUAUAGCAGUCUGAUUUGUAAUCUGCACGUGUGGUCAAUUAGGGUUCUUAUUUGCUUAGUUUUUUUUUUAAAAUUCGGUUUUAAAGGAUCGCCGCGUUAGGGUUAGGGUUUGUUGUUUUGUGGAUUGAUUUAUGUCUUCUCGGUUUGGUUAUGCGAAUUUGAGUUACGAUUUUUUGGUUUUGUGGAAUUUUGGUGAUAAAAAGUUAGGGCUUUUUUCUUGAGUUUUUGAAUUUGGGGGUUUUUGUUUGUUGUUUGAUCUGUCGAAAUUGUAGUCGAAUUUGAGAUCUUAAGGGGACACGUCUAUUUUUGAACUGGAUUGUGGGUCAACUUUAUGAAAUUCUGAAACAAACUUCGUCUUUUAUGGUUUCUUUUUUUUUUUCUCCCGAAAUUUUGGUAAUACGUAUCUGGCCUUUUGUUAUAGAAUUAAGGUUUUCUAGUGUGAUUCUAAGUUUAAUUCUGGAUAUAUUAAAUUGCAGAUGGCUCGUACCAAGCAAACUGCUCGUAAGUCAACUGGAGGAAAGGCUCCUAGGAAGCAACUCGCUACCAAGGUUUUAUUCUUGCCCCUUGAUCCAAGUUUUUAUUUCUCAUUUUGUGUAAGGAGGUUUGAUUCUUUAAUUUUGUUAUUAAAUUGGGCUUUUCCCCCCUCCAUUUUUAUAGGCUGCUCGCAAGUCUGCCCCAACUACUGGUGGAGUGAAAAAGCCCCACAGAUACCGCCCUGGUACUGUUGCUCUUCGGUAAGUGUGGUCUUUUAUUCUCUUUUCCUCGUAGUUACUGUUUGCAUUUGAGUAGUUCUUGUUUAGGUCUUUUAUUUUAUGUGAGUAGAAUUUUUUUGUUAAGUCUCUAUUUUUAGAAUUGUCCAUGUAUGGUUGUAAUUUGGCAUGCUUUUAUGAUGCAGUGAAAUCCGUAAGUACCAGAAGAGUACUGAGCUCUUGAUCAGGAAGCUUCCUUUCCAGAGGCUUGUCAGAGAAAUUGCUCAGGACUUCAAGGUAAGUGAUAAUUUGGGAUUGUUUUUCCUUCUCUCAUUUUAUUUUGGGGAAAGUGAUUUCCUGAAAGUGCGACUAAUUGUUUGUUUUGUAUGCAGACUGAUCUCCGUUUCCAGAGCCAUGCAGUCCUUGCAUUGCAGGAGGCAGCUGAGGCAUACCUUGUGGGUCUGUUUGAGGACACAAAUCUGUGCGCCAUUCACGCCAAACGUGUCACAAUCAUGCCCAAGGACAUUCAGCUGGCAAGGAGGAUCAGGGGCGAACGUGCUUAAGCUUGUUUAGGGUCCUCGUGUAGAAUGGUAGCUUUGGUGGUGUUUUUUGAUUUGUUCUCAAGCAAUAUUAUAUAGUUGGAUAGGACAGAGGCUUUUGCUUACUGGUAGUUGAUGGUGGCUAUUAGGAACUCGUGGUAUGGUGGCAUGUGUGCAGUAGUAUGGUUAUUGUUCAUGUUUUGUGUUGGGGUUGGAUGGCAAGAUCGACUUAUAAAUUCUUGUAUUUUCAGUUUGGUGAACUGCAUGUUGUCACACAUCUGGUGUUGAACAGCGUUUCUCAUUUGAUCUAAUGUAGUUUGGUAUUUUGUUGUUAGUGCGUUGUACUGUUCUAGGGAUGUCGUUAGAUUGUUCUCACUUGGGUAAUAAUUUAUGUUAACUCAGCCGAUUUUAUUGGAUUGGUGGCAUUAUGCUUUAUGCUUAGCUGUAAAAUUUGCUUGAAUGGGUAUCAAGAGCGUUUCCUUGUGUUGAGUUUUAAGAGUAAUUCGUUGGACGUUCCGGGGCUUUUGUUUUGUAGCUUUUUUGUUUUUUUGUUUUUUGUGGGAAUCUGGAUUGGAAUUUUUGGGGGAGGGGGAGAUUGUUUAAAUUGGAAUAAGAAGCAAGAUGGUGGGCAUUUAUUAUUUCUGAUUAAUUGGAUCUGUAGUGUGGCAAGUCUCGGUUGGCGGCCCAAAUUUGUUGACGGUUGCGGUUUCGUGAUCUGUCGACCUGCACUGGUUUUGUUAAUAUAAAACUAGCACACAUUUGGAAUUCACGUUAAGCAUUUUUAGCAUUUGGAUCCACUGAGCACCAAUUUGACAUGAAAACCCUUUAAUAUUUACUUGAUGGGUUUCCUUGUAAUGUCUUGCAAUAUUUCCGAAUUCAAGUUUUGAGACAAUAUGUGCGAUUUGCCUUGCUCUAUUCACUUAAUCAGUUGGUUCCGUUCUUUAAAGAAAUCUUGAGCAUAUCAAGUGUAUGAUAUAUAUAUGUUAAUUUCCGUUCUCAGCUGCGUAUCAUUCCUUGUGAAUGUCUAAUUCUUCAACACUUCAUGUAUAAUCCCAUGGAGGUCUCGGUUAUUUUAUGAUCAAUCCUAGAAGUACAAACCAACCUAGAAAUACCAGAUUUAUGCAUUUGAUGAUUCUUUUGCAAUUUUGAUUAGCAUGAUAUGAUUUUUGUGGUUAAUUCAUGUGAGAAGUGUUCAUUAACAUGGCCUUUUUUUUUUUUGGUCGGGAUUGUUCUUGAUUUUGACAUUUUGCUCUUUGAUGAUUUGUCAACUUGUUCGAACUCGAUUACUUGAUGAAAAUCUCCUCCUUGAAAAUAAUGAAAUUAUUCGUGUAGUAGCGCUAUCUUCUGCUUGUGAUACUCUCUAUUGACUUCUAACUUUAGCGUCUAGUUUGAUUGGUUUUCAUUGAUGCACUGAAAGUAUUAUGAAGUACACGGGAUAAUUUUUUGCAAAGAUGUAGAAAAUAAUUGUAGUAGCGGUGUUAUGACAAAUUGUUUCUGUAAACCUUUAUCUAAACUUUUGGCUUAAAAGUUAAUUGCAUAGCUUGGAGCGUGAGGUUUGAAAUCUAAGUUCAAAAAAAAAAAAAAACCGUGUCAACACUUUGCAAUAUAUGUGCCAGGGCAAUUUAGGCAUGCUCUUUGUUUGUUGUUGCUGUGGUUGUCGUUGGGUUCAACAAUUUAGGUAUAUUCACCAUCAAAUUUAACCUACGAGCAAUGGAUGAUAGGAAGGAAGGAAGAGGGACUGUAAAUUAGAAUCACGAUUUCGAAUCCUUCCAUUUACGUUACAAAAAAAAAAAAAAAAGGAGAGAAACAAAGAAAGUAAUAGUUGAAACACUGCGCUACCUGAGGCCCUAAAGGGUACUUGUUCAACAUGGGCCGUUAUAUAGUAGUUAGCCCCAUAGCCAUACUCUUGCCCACAGACAUCAAGUCCGAAAGUCAAGAGAUGAGCUCAGAGGCGUACAAUAGUGGGCCCCUUAAUUGUUAUACUGACAAUCAGUCAUACAAAAAAUAAUAAUAAUAAUGGGCCUAUGGAUUAGAUUGGAAUCAGCUGAUAGCCCGAAAGUUGGAGGUGUCUUCAAUUUCAUUAAUUUAAGAAAUCAAUAUUAGCCCACAUGUGGUUGAACAAAAAACAAAUGCAAAAGUCCACCAAUCUCCCUCAAUUUCUCUAUCUUCUUUUAUGUCCCUAAGUCCUGGUAAGAGAUGAAGUGGUGCAAUUGAAAUUUUAGAGGGACAAUUUGAGAAUUGAGAUUAGUAGAAGUGGGUUUGAGAAUCUGAGAAUUUUAGAGGGUUUUGUAAUUUACAACAUCAUACAUAUUAAAAUUCCAAUGCAACCUUAUUAUCAGUCCAUAGUCCAAAUUGAAGUAUCAAACUAAUACCUUGUUUGGUAAAUAAGUUUUUUGAGUAUUUGUCUAAAAUUUUACUGUAACAUACUGUAAAAAUUGUAGGAAAAAUUUUUAAGAUGAAAAACUUUUUUUUUUCCUUUUUCUUUCUUUCUUCUUCUCCCUUCCCUCCCCCGCCACCACUCUCUCCGACGCCAAAAGAACCAGCAGUAAACAUGGAAUUUUUUUUUUUGCUUUUUCUUUCCCCCUCAUCUCCCGCACCCUCUCCCCCACCACCCUCCCCUUCACAACUAGAUUGUAGCCGCGAUUUGGUCACGUGACCAAAUUGGGCAAAGGGGGAGGGGAGGAGGAGAGGGAGAGGGAUAAGAGAGAAACGAAAAAAAAAAGUGGCCAGUGUCGGAAGAGAUUGCUGGCAACAAAACUGGCAACACCUAGUCUUGGGCAGCGGCGAAGGUGGUGGUGCUUUGAGGUGGAAGAAGAAAGGAGGAAGAGAAAUUUUUUUUGUAUGUUUUGAGUAUUUUGAAGUGUGCAAGUUAAAAAUUUUGAAAAGUUUUUUAAAAUUAUUAUAGUUAAAGUUAUUAAAAAAUUCAAAGGAGACAAAUUUGGACAAAAACUCAAUUGCUAAACAAGCCCUAAAAAUAAUUGGCAGACAGUUUUAAAAGAUAGAAGCAAUCCAAAAGAGAUGCGAGCUUGAUUAGGACCACAACAACGUAUCAAUUCAGUAAACUCCCACACUCUUUACAUUUCUUUCUUGUUCCCUCUCUUUAAGCUCCGAAUAUGAUUGAAACUCAUAAUUACCCUACUUUCCCUUCUAAAGAACUCAUUCUUGUCAUAGGCCCUGCUAGCCACAAAUUAAAGCUCGCCGGUUAUCGGUUUAUUUAACUAGCUAUUUCCCUUUUUAUUUUGGUGUAUAAUUAAUUGUUAAGUACGAAUGGGAUUGUACGUGAUUAUGUUAUACAUUUUCUACUGUUUGUGUCCGCCAAUAGACUAAAACCAGAGUUAUGGCACAAACUAAAAACUAACCAAAGUACACAUUGAUUACCCGGCAAACUCUAACCAUAGUUAUGUUUGACUAUUCAUGAAGAUAAUCAUAUACAGAGAAGUCACUAUACAACAGAGAGCCAUCUGCAUAGUGAAGCAUGUAAUAGCAAAGAUCACAGAAAUAGCAAGGAUUCUCCUGUGCCCAUUUGUCAUCAACUGUAACCUUAGUCGCCUUAUAAAUGUUGCAAACAGAGCAUUUCCUAAAACGUACUUUAGAUUGAAAGGUUAUCAGUGGAUAAGCAGCUCGGUUCUGUACAUCCUCUGGGUGGAUCAGCCUCAUGUCUCUGAUGACAAUUAGGUGUUUGCAAUCCCCCUUGAGCACAAUAAGAUGAACAAAAUCAGUCCAUGAGAGAGACAACUAAACACUUGAACACGUGGGACAGUUAAAAAGGAAUCACAGAGAUGGGCAAAUUGGCAGAAAACAGAGGAAGGAAGAAAUCAUGAAACAAUCUUAUUAACAUGAUGAUCAUGAUGGCAUUGGUUAUAGGAAGGGCAGUGAUUGCUGGUGGGGGAAAAUUUCCUACGACUAAGACCAACUGGGUGUUAGUCAUGGAACUGGGAUUGCCACAUAAAUCUCAGUUGAAUUUGUUUACUGUAUAGUUUAAUAGUGUUUUCUUCCGUGUAAUUAGUCUGCUGACUCUUUGUAUAAGCAGGUUUUCUGAUCAAUGAAAAGCAAAUAUUUGCUCAAAUACAAAAAUUAUUCAUGAUAUUUUGAGCAGUCAUCUCCCAAAUCUAUAGCAUGAAAUUACAAGUAUGAAGUAGUGCAACACAAAGUCAGCAGGAAAGUAAGUAUUCCAACAAUUUUCUAAUUUCCCUGAACACACAAUUCUGAUAAGGCAACUAUUAAACAGAAAAAGAAUAACUUCUAGAAUGAUUAUAAAAAUGUAUACCUGGUGACAAUAGAGAUAUCCAGCACCAAGUCGAAAUCCAAGGUCACAAAAGCGAGUUUUUUGCAUGUCAACAACUUUGAAGUGUGGUAACUGUAGUUUUUCGUUGCUGUCUAGAAAUGCCUUUCGCUUCUGGUGCUGCUGUUGUUCACCAGCUACAAUGAACUCCCAUUUUUCAAGUGCAACAUUCCUAGAGUGUUCAAGCCACUUAAAAAUGGGCUUACUGUAAUCUAUAGCAUACGGAUCCCUCGUGUCAUUGCAAAACACAUCCUACCAAAAGUACACUUCUCUUAGAGUGAGAAAUUGAAGAACAGCCAAAGGUUUCAGUAAUGAAGAAAGCCAAUGCACUUACUUCUACCAGGAAGUAUCCAGAUGCAUCAUGCUUGCCAGCCUUUUUCAUGAUCUCAUCGGUCAAACAAUAUAUCAUGUCCCUCACUUCAGUCAAAAACUGUCGCCCAAGAACCAAAAAUUCUUGUGUCUACAAAAUUUAUUGCAAAAGUACAAGUUAAAUUCAGCAGGAAGUAAAAGCAUGAACAAAAAUCAAUCAAACAGAUUCUGGCCCCCACCCACCACCCCUGAAAGGAGGGAGGGACAAAGGGCCAAAAAAGACAAUCCCAAAUCCAGAUGAAGCUCUGAAAACACCAGAGUCCAUGAAAGUGAGAGUAAAGUGCAAUUCUAAAAAAAAUUACAUUGAUUUUAUUAACAAAGUGUGAUUCAGAAUAAAAUAAUAAAUAUAAAUAUCUUUUGACAGACCACUUAAGACCAUUUUCACAUGCAACCAGAACUACAUUUGGUGAUUUAAGACAAUUUCGUAGGUUAUUGGGUGCCUAUUUCUCAUUGCAAGAAAUAACAUACAAGAAGCAGUGUCAGAGUUCAAAUUCAAUACUCAAUUUAACAAAUUAUGAAUUUACUCUUGAGUGUUCAUAAUCAGUAAGUUCCGACUUUUCAAGUUCAAAUGGUAAGUACUAAACUCAGAUUUAACUAUCUCAACCUCAAUUAAUAUUCUGUCUUUGAAAAGGAAAAAGAGUUUUCUCCUAUCAUAUUCCUCUUUAGAAACUAAAAUAAUGCACUUCUUAGGGAAAACUGGCAUAACGUUUUAGUUUACAGUGAAAACUAACCAAUAGAAAGAAAAAUAAACCAAAAAGAGGGCAGAACUCCCAUGAGUUGGCUGCUAUUUUUCAAGGAUAUAUAUUAGGACUACAUAACAUAAUUGAUCAAAGAUUGAGAGCCUUGAGAAGAGAUGUCCAGAACAUUGAGCUCAGGACAAGGCAUUAUUUUCCCUUAAAGCAAUCAAGUGGCAAAUUACAAGAUGACCAGCAGAGAGAAAAUUAAAAUAAACAGAAACUCAAAAAGUCAAAUAAACUAGAAUAAAGAUCCAAAAUAUUACAACUGCUAUAGUCUGUGUAAGCUAUGUGUGCAUCUUGUUCAAUCCAGCUAUUCUUAAUUCCAUUUUACUGUAAAAAUAGUCUCACCAAGACAUGAAUAAGAAGCACUUGGUGAAGAAUGGAGCAUUACCCGAUCAAAAUAAUUCUCCAAAUAAAACAUAAAAGGCAGUCCCGUAGCAUGAUGCUCAGGUAGGGUUUGAAGGACCAAACUUUACAUAUUGAGAGUACAUGCGAGGUACUAGAGUUAGAAGCUCCCCCAAAGAUACCACAAGGCAAUAUCAAAAACCUAAAUACACUUAACUAACAUAACUAAAUGCACCAACCAUGCAAUCAGAUGGCACAUAACCAAUUGCAAACAUUUACAGCAGUAGAAUGCUGGUUACAAGCACCUAUAGGAAGACUCUGAAAUUUGUACUGCAGAAUGUGCACAUGCGUGCACACACACACAUACGUAUAUAUAAAACCAACUAAGUAUCAGAAUAGGCAUGUUACUUCACAUUUAAUCUGGUCAAUAGCUCAAGUAAUAAUGGAAUAGCACCACCUCGAUAAGUUGGAACCACAUAUGAAAUAGUAUUAAUGACAAAAAUCAACUCUAGGUUAAAAAUCAUACCACAAACAGCCAAAGUUUUCAAGAUUUUGGAGGUUAAUUGACAUUACAAAUCACAACAGAAACUUAAUGGUAUAAAUUUUUCCUUAGCACAGAAAUCAAUGAUCAACAGAAUAGUAACAUGGCACAAGUUGCUUUCUCUGCAUGAAAGGCUACCAAUAAAUUAUUUCUAACUGCUGAAUAUCUGAUGUAUGAGCAAAAUAAUUUGUCUAAUUUGGCGUUUUAUGUGCAAUGAGACAGGAGAAGAUAACAACCAUCCAGUGCUCAUUUUACAAUCGGUUAUAAGGGUUUGUAAGUGACAUUUAAUCUUUUCACAUGCACAAGGUUACGCCAGAACAUAUGUAUGUAAAUUGGUUGUUGAGAUUACCAUGGAGAGAGGAAGAAAGAGCUCUAAAAGAACUGAAAACUGUUUGUGGAGAACGAAAAGUCAUGUUCAUUUUCACUUUCAUUUUUGGGCUUAUAGAAUCCAUCUCCACUUUUAUAGAUACCUGGUUGGACAAAUUUUUUAAGCAACAGAUUUCUAUCUCGUGUGCCACUUGUCUAUUUAUAGUGAAAGGGGAUAAAAAAAACAAAACAAAUGAAUCCAUUAAUUUGGUCCAUCUAAAGAGAUAUGAUGAUUAAAUGACUAUGCACUAUGUAGUAGUAUUUCACCUUAGACCAUGUUCGUCUGUUAUGGUAAACCUCAAGGCAGAGAAUGACUUCAGGAAAAUGAACUGGAACUUGCUCAGGAGUCUUGGAUGAUCCCACCUACAAUAAAUUUGAUAGGAAUUUAAGCUAUCAAAACUGUGACCAGUUAAAGCGAUAAAGAAUAUGAUUAGUUUGCACCAACUGUCAGCAUAGCUAGACCUAGAAUACCUAUUAUCCAUAUACAUUGGUAUACGCAUAAUCUUCAUGACUGCCAAAAUUAAAUAGAUCAGACCACUUUAUGUGUAUAGUCCAACAAUUUUCCAAAAUGGCCUCUAAAUUAAAAACUUAAUAUAUUACUCUUGUACUUAUAUAAGCCUUUCCUUUAGUUAAAACUCAAUCCCUAUAUUUGGUAUCUACACUAUGCAAUAUAUUUUCUUAUUACAAGCUAUUUAUGGUUAAAAAACAUUAUUUUUACAAAAAAUCCAAAUUAUAACAAGAAACCAUCUUGUUAAUGAUUAUAAAACAGUACAGAAGCUUCAUAGCCACUGACUGCUUGAUCCAUAAAAUUACAAAAAUAACUCUAUCUUCUUGAUCAGGUAUACAAUGGAUUGCAAAAGCAGAUAGUGCACAAACAAGUGCUUAGUACUGUUCGAGCAAAAAUUACUUUAACCUUCUCAUGAGACUUGCUAAUCAAGUCAUGAUGCACUAACUUAGAUGUGCGUAAACAUUAGACUAGAUUUUGGGCCUUUCACCAACAAAAUAACUCAAAACCAUCAUGCUCUUAGAGCAGGUUAAAGCAUUAACAAGAAACAAUUUGACAUAAAAUCUGCGAAUCUAAGCAUAUCCAUGCUAGUAAUCAUUUGGACGUGUAAACAAAUCCACUGUACUAUAACUAGGUACCUGACUAUAACCUUAAGCAUGCAUUCCCUUCAUUGCUUACAUUGCCAUUUUCAUUAUUAAAUUAAGAACUGUUUAAUACCACAGAAAUUCUCUGGGAACACAAUUAGGCCAAAACAGAAGUAAACAUAUAUAUAUUAUAUAUAUAAACGUAUAUGUAUAUCUGUAUAUCUGUAUAUAUUUGUAUAUGUAUAUGUAUAAAUUAAGCAAAACUCUAAAAAUAAACUUUAAAAACACAUCUAAAUAAGUUUGCCUCAGUAGAGGAAUGAAAACAGAACAUUUUUCUCACAUAGCAAACAAGUCUAAUGUUCACUUGCUCCAAUCUGCAGGGAAAAUAAGCUAAAAACCUGAAGUGGAAAUUUAGCUUUAUUCAACAGAAUACUAAAUGAAAAAAAGGAAAAACCAAAUGCUUAAAGUGUCAAUUGUGGAUAGACACUGCACAGCUUCAGAUACACAUCAAUCAGUAAAAGAAGGCACGUACUCAAGCAAACCUUAGGUGAAAAACUUGUUGACUUGAGUGACGUCAACUUGUCAUUCUUUAUCUGGGAACUAGCAGCAGAUUGAUUUCUGCAACUACCACUGAAAUGAAACAAAAAACACCAAAGCUAAGAUGCAAAUCAGAAAAUGCAGCAAUCUACAGGGAUUGUUCAACAAGGACGACCAGAGCUAAGAAAGAAUGCAAAUUUUAACCAGAUAGUCAAAGUUAAAAGAUGCCUACUUGAAUGAAUGCAAUCUUGCUGCUGUUUUAUCUUCAUCUUGUUUUUGUUUAAUUUUUGCGAGUUCUCUCACCUUUGCAACAUACCCUUCCUGAAAAUGCAUCAAAAUUUCUUAAAUCACAUUGAGGUAAAAUUCUCCACAAAAAUCAAGGGUUGAAAUUGGUAAAAUGGCAUCCUCAUUUGUGUAAAUAUUUUUCCAGGUUAGCAUUUUUCAGUCCUAAAUAUUUUCGCAAAGAGGUAAAAUCACAUCCUUUUGUUUUGCUAAUUAUAUGGAUCACAUUCAGAUCCCCCAACUAAACAAUCCAGAAUGUCAAAUUCAUCUUAAGUAUAUCAACAUGUCUAGCCCUAGAGGAACAGCAAAAGGAAAGGCACGUAUUUCUUAAGCAACCAAAUUCUAUCAAAUGGUGAACGUUUAACAUAACUUUCAUCUGGAAGCAGAACAAAUGGCAAUAAGAAAAAAGAAAUUAAAAAACCGGUAGCAUACUUCAAGAUUAACUGUUUCCCGAUUCACACGCCUCUUCCUCUCUCUCUUUUCCGACACAUUAUCAUUUGAUACUGUCUUUUUGACAUCUCUGGGAGCACCAGUUGAGGAGCCACAAGUAACUAAAGUAUCCUUUCCUCCCUCCAACCUAGUAACAUAAAGAGUUAGAAUAGCACAUGCAUUGCCAUCAUCUGGUUCCCAUACAAGCCUAAGGAGGCUAAAUACAUAAAGAGGUAGUAUCUGAAAAAAAGAGUGAGAAAUUGGAAGUGGUCAUAAUCAAAACAAUCAGUGGCCUUACUUAAAAAAGAAAAAAAAAAGAACAAAGCUAUGCUGAGAAAGUAGAAACGCUCUCAACACUUGGUAUUGAAAUUAAUAAGUAGCUCUCAUAGAUUAAGAAAUAAGUAGCUCUCAGAAGAGUUUUGCACACACAAAGAUGGCAACCAUGCGAAAGUGUCAAGUGAUAAUACAGCAGUCUAUUGCUUUUUCAUGAACAGAAAUUGCUCCUUGUACUCUUCUUAUUAAAAGAUCAGUAAAGAAACCUUCCAUUUUCCUUUCCCCUUUUAUAUUACUCAUAAGAUAUCACUAAGAUAAGCAUGAAAUGUGUGAUGUGUGAUUCUUUAUAGGAGUUUAUUGUCGAUUUGCUAUAAUUACAACACUCAUAAGAUAAGAUUUUAAUUUCCACUAUUUCUUGUAAAACUCUGAGAAGAAUAAGAUAGAGUUUUGAGAGUUAGUUUGCACAAUCCAGAUAUGCAAACAAAGUUGAACAGAAACCACUGAUUGACAUUAUACAUAAUGCCUUUUUUAUUUUAGUUUUUUAUAAGUUGCUAUGGUUCAGCUGAUAGAAAAUUCUCAUUCAACUAGCAGCAGAAUUAUAUGAUUCUAGGGAUAGGUUUGAAAAAUUCACAUUCAACUAGCAGCAGAAAUAUAUGAUCUUAGGGACAGCUUUGGAACGGUAGACAGUGACUAUGAAGAUUUCUGCAGUUAAGAAAACUGAGCUGAACUAAAACUAAUGAGAUUCACUUUAUCUACCUAAAAUUUUCAUGAGGAUCCAUAUGCCUUACAGUAUCUCUAAUGGGCAAGCAUUGCAGUGAAAUGACUUCCAAAAAUCUUGUUGAUUUUAAUCUUUCUUAAACCAUUUAUGUACAAAACCACACAAAUACGUAACAUCUCAUAACCUAAUAUGUCCUUCAUAUUAUGACAGUCCUAAAACUAACCCAACUUUUUCCGCACCACAAUCCCAAAGACUUGUGAUGACAUCUCUCAAACUUCCAUUCAUCAGUAACGCUUCCCUUCCCCGGUCAACAAAAAGCAAAGUAAGAAACUACGGUAUUUUACCAUUCAAGCUAGUAGAAAACAUCAGAUAAGCUUAGAAAGAAGCAAAAUCAGCAAGAAGAAAUGAAAUGUCCGCUAACCUUUGACACGAUUGCUCCUGGGAUUUUUGUGCAAUAUUCUCUUUCAGCUGCGCAUCCUAUCAUUAUCCACUAAAAGUUUUAAAGAAAACAAAACCUAAGAAACUGGAUAAUUCUGAGAAAUUACAACUCAAAACAGUUUACCUUUAAUGCUUCCUCAAAAGCCCGAUUUACCAAAUCCUCCUCCUUAAUUAUUUUAAGAUCAUUAACGCUGCAAGUCAUUAAAAUAAGAGUAAGCAUAACUAAUAGAACAUUCAAAUCAGAUAUCUUCAUUGUUAAAAAAUGCAAAGCAACCACAACUAAUUCUAAAUACAUGGGGGUGGGCACCAGGGGAAGAAAAAACAAGACUGACCAAAUUUCAUCAUCAGAUAUGUCGAGCGAGUCCCAACCAAUGUCUGCCUUGAGAUUCUGCAUUAAAAGACAAAUUCGUCUAAGUUUGACUACCCAAAUAUCCCGAACAAUUUAAAUUCCUAAAACAAAAAGACCAUUAAAAAGGGCAUUCUUCAAAAAAAAAUAAAAUAAAAUAAAAUUAAAAUUGCUCUCGAAAUUUAUAAUUGAAUACAUGCAUACAGCAAAAAAUUCCAUAAAAUCAAUCAUCAUAGUGAAAUGCUUCCUCUAAAGCAACCUUAAAAAAAUCCUUUCUUCUGUACAUUGUCAAAUACUCGCCAAAUAUUACCAGCAAGUAACCUCAAAAAGUAAAAAAAAAAAAACCCAAUAAACAUUCAUAAACAAGUAAAUAAACAAAAAGGUCAAAAAAAGAGUAAAUAAACAAAAAAAAAAAAAAAAAUUUCCGUUUCUUUGGGUACCUGAAGUUGUUCAAAUACAGAGCUCUCAAACUCAGAAACCCUAGUGAGGCGACCCAGCAUAUGAGGGCUAUAGAUGGGACCCCCAUGGGGAAUUGAAAUGUUUUGUUCGCCCCUGAUGCCCGGGGGCUCCAUCGCCGACAUAGGAAUAAUUAGAGUUUCUUACUGUAUGUGGCUGGUGAGAAGUCAGCAAAAUAAAAAUGGCUACACACAAAAUGGGCUGCCGGAGCUGGACGAUAGAGGGUGCGAAGGCGCCGGUGGAUAUGGGGUUUUGGGGUUCUACACGGGAAAGAAACAGAAAAAAGAUAAUUUAGCUUACUUGGCUGUUCAUCCGUUUCUGUUUUGGCUUAAGAAUAGAACAAAACACUUGUUCUGCAUUUUUAGAAGAACGAAACAGAAACAUGUUUUUGUUUCAUAUAUAAACAUGUUUGGUUAAAUGAUGAUGUUUUUCUUUUUCUUUUUCCAAUUUAUCACAAACUUUAGUUAUAUUCUUUUUCAACCCUAUCUUCCUAAAUAGUGGUAAAAUACACUAAAAGCAACUCACAAUCCAAUUAAAAGUACAAUAUCAAAUUAUAAAUGAUCUUACACCAUAUCAAAAGAAAUAAUAGUUGAGAAUAUUUAUAAGAAUAAAUUAAGACCAAUUUGAACUCAAGUGGCUACAACUAAAUGAAAAAAAAAAAAAUUCAUUAAAUGUCAAAUAAUACACAUUCAUAGUGGAGUACAGUCUUCCUAACUUAUAAAAUGCCAUCCAUCCCGAAAUUGUAAUACUAAUCAAGCAUUCUUGGGGGAUAACCUCAUUGGGCCCCAGGUCCUGUGGUCGACCCUGGCUCUUUUGCCGUCUCGUAUAUACUCGGGGGGCGGGGUGCACGGACGCAGGGAGAUUAGUCUGGUACAAGUUGGGAUACUCCCUCUGUAGACAAAAAAUAAAAAAUAAAAAAUCAAGCAUUCAACUAAACUAGUUUCAACGUAUGGCUACAAAUCAAAAUCUUUUCUUUCACACUCCCAAAACUUUGAUGAACACCCUUCUCUCAAUAGCUUGAGCGCUUAACUAAGCAACUUUCCAGUAAGUCAUAUCUAUUAGUAUGUAGUAGAGACUAGAGAGGCAAUUUGAACACCACCACUAUCACCCCAAUAUGGCACCAAUCAUGCAAAAUUACUCGAUGGUUAUGAAAUCUCAAGAGCCCUCUUUUCAAAACUUGUAUUGACAAGCUUACUUAAUACUUGUGAAUCUCCUCAACCCUCUUUUCACAGCCUUUUACUGAAGUAGUCAAUCCCAUUUGAAAUGGUUGUCCCAAAUUUCUCUCCUUGGAAUGAAUCAAAAUCCCAUGGAUAAUAAGAAAAAAGUGAAGUAAAAUCCAAAAAAGAAAGAAAGAAAGAAAGAAGAUAAUACAUAGAUUAAAAGUCAAAUAAUACCAUAUUAGAUUGAAAGUAAUAUGGAAGGGAUAGCCAGUUACAGUUAGUGUGUUUAAGAGAGAAAAGAGCUAAUUAUCGGGAAAGAAGAACAAAGAUAGAAUAUUUUUUUAAAUUACCGGGCUAGGAUAUUUUUGGUAUUUACGUUGAUGUUGUUUAUAUGACUUUCACUUGGCUUGUGUUCGUGAGUCUUUUUUUUUUUUUUUUUUUUUAAAUUGGCUGUAAACGUUUGUCAUCACUAUUUUCUGCAAAUUGGGUGUCCGGAUGAAAACUAUUACGACACUAAGCACGGGCUUAGCUGCUUAAGAUUGGCCGGCCGGCCCAACAAUGAAAUAUGUUAAUGAAAUAUGUUUUGUGCUGGACGAUUGAUAUAUCCGUUAAUUCGAGCAACUAAUACGAUAUUAGGGCAACGACGUAUAUCGAUCGUGCUGGACGAUUUCCAACAAUCUGUUAAUGAAAUAUGUUUUGUUAUUUUAAAAAAAAAAAAUCCAUGUUACAGAUUAUCAUCGUCCAUAAAACUUGAAAUCCUGAACAUGUGCUGUAAUUAUUGUUUAAUCCAACCAAACCGCGCCUAAAUAUGAGGUUAAAAGAGUAAAGAAGGGGAAUUCCAUUUGUCAGAUUUAUCACUCUGUUUCAACAAUUGUCACUUCUCAGCAUUGGAUAUCAUUUGUCAAAUGAACGUUGUAUGUAUUCUGAUGCCUUGAAAUAAGCUCACUGGUAAUUUAUGUUAUAGUUGAUUUUUUUUUUUAACUGUUUAAUUUAAUGAAAUGACGACUGCUUAAUAUUAAUCACCAAGUGUUUUACUAUCUUCUUCCAAUCUGGAGUUAGUUUAUUUGCAAGCAACAGAUCGAUUGAUUGCAAGGGUCCAAUAUGGUCAAUGAGGCUACCAGUUCUUUACAGAGAAAUUUAUUACAGUAGGAUUUUUUGUCACAACGCCCAAGUAAAUUAAUCCUCACAAAGACUUUACUUAUUUGUCAAUAUUUUACUUUGUCAAAUGACAAUAACAAGCUGCAAAAUCUUCAAAUAGAGUAUUAUUAAUUCCGCGUUGAAUUUGGUUUCUGCAUUUACUUUUUCCUGAAUUCGAAUACACAUGAGCAUCUUGGAUGGUUAACUGUUUUCACACAAUAAAUAAAUUCUUUCCUUCUUUCAACCCAAUACAGACGAGGAUAAAUUGUGUAAAUAACGCAAUAAAGGAAGGUAAUUGUGAGGGGUAAGUAAUGCCAAAUUAAACGAAACUGCACCAAUCAAUAGGUUUUUAACUUUUUCUCUGUGAUCAAUUUGGACAUUUGGUUUUUUUCGUGCCUAGCUAGACAACAAUAAAUAGUUAUUACUAUAUCUCCUUAAUUGAUGUUUUAGCUUUUUUUUUCUUGGUGUCUAUAUUGAUUUGUACGUUUAUAAUGCAGUUAUCACUUAAAAUUUUGGAUUUCACUGGAUCAAUUUAUACAUUUACAAUGCAAUUUAUCACUUACAAUCAGGAGAACUCCAACUGCCCUUACUGAGCAGGCUCUGUUUGAUAAUCAAAUUCAGAACUUGAAUUGAAUAUAUUCGGAUCUUUAAUAUGUUCAGACGCGUUUGAUAACAAAAAAUUGAACAUCUAAAGUAAUUAAAUGACACUGGAUUUUCUAGAUAAAAUUUGCUCCUAAAAAUAAGGAAUAAGUUAUUCACUUAUUAUUGAAUGUAAUAUAUACUCAAAUGUAUUUGAUUUAAUACUUAACAAAAUAAUAACUUAAUAGAUUUCAGACUUCAAUUUUAUCAAACGCACCCUUAACUCAUGUUAACUAACCAUUGAUAAUAUAAGACUCUAACGCACAGAAACACUAUACAAUUAAGGGUGCAUUAUUACAAGUGAGAUGAUGAUGAUGCGAUUCACGCCGGUUAUUAGAGUAUCAAUCAGACAUUAUUAUUACUCAAUUUGGCUUUUACAUAAUCUACAAGUGUACGCCAUUAAAUAAAUCUUCAAAGUUGAAAGUGGCCUUUGUGAUUUUACAGGUCCACGACGUUUUUUUUUUUCUAGGAAAAUGUUCAACUUAGUAAUACUUAAAUCAUCCACCAGUUCUCAAGAACUACCUAAUUCUCCAAUAUUGCAUCAAAGGUCUAAUCAUCCUAAAACUUGUUUAAUCACAUGACUAAUUUCACUUGUUCCCUAAAACUUUUGCAUAUUCUCGCUGUAUACCUAAAUUUAUUUCCAAUCAUUUGGACCCUAAAAUUAUCGAAGGACUUCAAAGCACCCCUACUACACGUGACACUCCGCAUCAAUGAGAGCAGGCAAAGCAUAAAGUUGCUUUUUUUUUUUUUUUGAAUUAUCUUAACGACUGAUAUCAGUUUUCAUGCCUAAGAAAGAAGUACGUUGCAAUACACAUAACGCGACCAAUUACUAAUAAUUGAGGGGAUUGGAGUGAUUUGGGACGGGUUAAUACCUCUAUGGUACAAAUUGUUAGAAUUAGGGCUUGUAAGUGCAAAUCGAAAAUUGAUGAAAAUAUGAAGGGUCCAAAGUGGAAUUAGACCCUAAACUUGAUACAAUAUGUGGAGUUUUGGACAACAAUCAAAUGUAUUAAGUAAUGUUUCAAUUACCAAGGUCAUGUUUGCCGGCCCCUAGACAAAGUCAGACUCCAUGCAGCUUCCAUUUGGAUUAAUAACCAAGAAAACGACUGAGCAAAUAAUUUUUUAAUAGUAGUUAAUUUUUGUCAAAAUUUUGAAUUCAUCAGCCAUUAUACAUUUCUUCCCAAAUCAGCCAACCCCAUACCGUCCCACGAACAUCUACUUGUCCUUUUUUUUUUUUUUUUUUUCCAACAAAAGCUCUGUAAGUAGUUUGUUUUUCAAUCUCACUUUUGCCGUUACGGCGGACUGCCACCUCCACCUCCUUAAACGACUACCCGCCAACUUCGGACUUUUGUAAUAAAAACCAGAAAGAAAGGGGAAAAAAAAGAGAAAGAAAGAAAGAAGACACUCUCUCUAACACACACACACUAAAACAGAGUUUGGAGCUGGACCUAUUCUUGGUGCUAUUUUUUUGUCCCAAUAUUUCCUACUGAUUUUCCAAAGAUUUGUGGUUCCUACAAUUCCGAGGUUCAACAUGUUACGGUCCAAAUCAUCAAGGUAAUAACAGAAAAUCACUAUCCUUUCAAGUCUUUUUUUUUCCGCUCCUCUUAUCUGGUUAACUUUUUCUUCUUUUACUCCAUUUCUGACGAUCUAUUGCUUUCUCUCUGACUCGUGGUAUAUUCUGAUUUUUGGAUACAUUGAUAUAUGUGAAUUCAUGGGGUCUAUUUUAUUGGCAUGAAGAUAUUGAUUUAUUGACUGAUGUAAUGAUAACUAAAGAUUGUCUUUUUUAUGAGUUUGGAUUUGAUUUGUAUAAAUAUAUAUGCUGUUUCUAGAUAUGGGAAUGCUGAUUUUGGACAAAAGAAUCAUCCAUCAGUUCUUUCUAGGACCCUCUCAGCAUCCAAAUUUUGUAGAGGUGAUGCUUUAGCUUCACAAAUUGAUUCCGGCGCCCUUAAAUCUGUUGGAAGAAGAUCUGUUGACAGAUAUCCCUCCAAGGUUGCCAAUUUAUCCGAGGUUUUGGGACAAUUUGUAAUACAAGUUGUCUCUUUUUUGUCUUUUGAUGUUUCUAGGAUAGGCUGUUUUAUGUAUAACUGAUGAGGGGUUUGUUAAAUUUUCUUGGUGUAGAAUCGGAUAAAUAGAGUUUCGACCAUGCAAGAACAAAUGAGGCAGGCCGAGGAUGAGUUGAAGACGUCAAAGGAACAAUUAGAUUUUGCUGAGGAUGAAAGAAGUCGAGCAUUCAAUGAACUCAGGGAGGCGAAACGAUUAGUUUAUGAGGCCAAUAUGAAGGUUAAUGAGGUAUUGUCCCCUAGGAAGACAGGGGAACUAAUGACAGAAGUUAAGAAUUUGAAGGAAUUGCUGGCUAAUUCACUGAAAGAAUUGAAGUUGAAGGAUGAGAAGAUUGAGUGUUUGAAGCUAGAGCUCCAAGAGGCGAAACAGUUUGAGUUUAAAUUGGCUGAGAGAGAUGCAUCAUUAGCCAGAUGGAAAGAGGAAUUUGAUAAAGUGAAGGGGUCGGAGGCUUAUGCAUUGGAUUUACUAUCUGCAGGUGAAAAGAGGAUUGAGGAACUAGAAAAUGAAGUUCAAAGAGGAAAUGUGUCUGAAGCCAAAAUGCUCGAUUCAUUAGCAUCCCAGACAAAACAGCUUGAGCAGAUUAAGAUUGAACUUGAAGAAUCUAAGCUAGAAAUUGCUGCUUUAAAUGAGAGGAUCGUGUCAUCUCAGGAACCCUCCAAGCAAAAUAGUAGUGAAUGUAAUCGACCUGACAGAAAGGGGGAAAAUGAAAUUUUGAUAGGGGAUGCUGGGAGUACAAGGUCUGAGCAAAAAUUGGCAAAGCAGAAUCUGUCUCUAGGUAAGAAGGAUGCUAAUAUUGCCUUGUCAAAUUCUAAGACUUCACUUGAUGAGAUGCAAUUACUGAAAAAUGAGCUGAAAUUGGCCAUUGAAGCUGAAGAAAAGAGCAAGAAAGCCAUGGAUGAUUUAGCACUGGUACUAAAGGAAGUUGCAACGGAAUCCAAUCAGGCAAAAGAGAAACUCAGCGUUGCAUAUUUGCAACUAGAACAAGUAAAGGGAGAAGCAGAACAACUGAAGGUUAUUGUAAGGAGCACUGAAGAAAGGUAUGAACAGCUUCUCGAUGAAGCCAAAAAAGAAGCAGAGCUGCACAGAAACACCGCAGAUAGAUUAAGGGUAGAAGCUGAAGAAACACUUUUGGCAUGGAAUGGAAAGGAAAUGGGCUUUGUGAGCUGCAUAAAAAGAGCUGAAGAGGAAAGGGCUGUUGCUCAACAUGAGAACGCCAGACUUUCUGAGUCUCUUAAAGCGGCAGAACAUAAGAUGAGAGCAGCAAGGGACGAGAGCUACAAACUGAGAGAUAUACUCAAGCAGGCUAUCAAUGAAUCUAAUGCAGCAAAAGCUGCUGCUGGACUUGCAAGAGAUGAAAAUUCUCACCUCAAGGAUAUUCUGGCCGAAAAGGAUGAAGCUCUGUAUUUUCUCACUCAGGAAAAUGAACGGCUGAGAAUCAAUGAGGUUGCAGCUCAAGAAAAUGUCAAGGAGUUAAAGCAACUGCUUUCUAUAGCAACAAGAGAUCGUAAAACUCAAAGUAAGACUGAGGAUGGGGUCUUGAGGUCCCAAAGUUUUGACCUUGGGAACAUUGAAGAUGAGACGAAACCUGUGAGAAAGAAUUUCAGCUUCAAUCUCAAGGAACUGAAGUUUUCAAAUGACACUGAAGAUUCCGACCAGACUAUUAGUCACGAGGAUCCUGAAAAGGCAGAGGCGCUCAAGGGUUCAAUAUUUGAUAGUUCAACUGAUUCGCCAAGAUCAGAACCCCGAAGUCCAAGACUAGUGCCUCAUCAUCGGAAAGAGUCUUCUUCUGUCUUUACAGAUGAUGGUGAUACGCCAAUGUCAGAAGAUUUAGAUCAUCUAGACAAUAGUAACUUCGAUGAUUCAGAUAGUGAUAGAAACCACCGGAGAAGGAGAACAAUGUUUCGCAGGGUUGGAGAUCUCAUUAUGAGAAAAAGCUUUUCACAAAAGGGAACCAUUAACUGAGUAGGCUUCUUUGGUUUACUUAGUGAUAAGAAAAGUCUGGUAAUAGCAAUAGUAAUUUGUAUAUUGCAUAGCAUACAUUUGUCAGAAAUGAUGGCCCCGGCUCACCUUUUUGUUUAGGAAUUUCAAAUUAAAUAUUCCAUUAUAGAUUUGUUGUUAUCAAAUGCUUGUGGAGGCUAUUAAAUUUAGUCAUCUAUAUCGUUGGUCCAUUUACUUAGUAUACUGAAUAUCUGCUUCCAAAUUUCCAACUACCAGUGAAAGUUUGAGCUUCGGAAAAAUGCUUUUCACAUUUCAUUGCUGCUCAUGGGUGACCAGAAAGGUAUGGAAUUCUCUUCUCAAGGCACUUGUGUGUAUUUUUUUUAGCACAAGAAUCCUAACUGAAUGCUUAAUUCUGAUCAGAAUCAAUAGAAUUACUUCAACUAUCUUAUCUUACCAAAUCUACUCUUGUUUGUUAAUUAUGUUCAAAAUUCUUAGCUAAUUAAACAACCUGAUAUUCUCUAUCUAACGAUUUUCUGUUUCUCUUUUUUUCCUUUUUAAUGACUUUCACACCUUCUCCAUACUCCUCAUAUAAUAUAUUUCAUCUUUUAUAUUAAUUUGAAUUUAAAAAUAAAUAUUGUCAUCUUCAUACCUAACAAUUUUAAGCUAAUUAAAUCAUAGAUUCUACUUUUUUUUGAAUGAAAAGAUAUAAGGUCAAAAUCGUCAAAUUAAACUUAUUAAGCAUUCAGUUAUAAAUAUUUAUAAAACAAUAUAAGUAGGUUUAGCAUUAAAAUUCAUACAUUCAUAUAUAUAUAUAUAUAUAUAUAUAUUUGGUUGUGUUCAUUCUCUGUUUUCCUUGUUACAUAUUGGUUUCGAGGUGGCAAAUAUAAAUCAGGCAUUGUAUUGCUGUUGUUGCAACUUACAAGAAAACUAUCAUUACUCCUCUGAAAAAACCAUGAUCAAUCAAAUUCGUGACCUAAUGGUAGGACUUUUUUUAAACAUGACUAGAUGUAUUUCACGGGGGGUGGUAGGAAGUAAGGAUGUAGGACAUACUACAUAUGAUGACUGAUCAUAACAACAAAUAAAGCAAGAUAAUCUCCCAGAAUCUACCAGUACAUUUUCACAAUUUGUUAAUUAAUUGGUAGUAGGUGCAGUUAAAGAACCAUCAGAGGAGGUCCCUUGUGUUCCACUCAAGCUCCUGUUUGGAUUGUAAGUUAUUUGGGAUUAUUUGGGAUAUUUUUACUGUAGCACUUUUUGUGAUGUGAUGUAUGUGAGAUAAAAAGAUAUUGGGAAGAUAAAAAGGUAUAUUGAAAAUUAUAAAGAUGAUGUAAGCAAAUAAAAUUGGGGAAAUAUGAAGCAAUCCAAACAAACCAAAUUUAAUAUUUGUUUUUUUCAAAUGUUUUGGAGUCACGUUCAAUUUUAGAAGACCCAUGCAUGGACUCUAGUUUUUAACAGUUCUAUAGAAAGCACAAAUAAAUAAGACGACAAUCACCAAAAUCUCUGCCUUGCUUGAGAGGAAAGUGCCCUUGGAAAUGGCCCUGCUCUUAUUAAUUAAUUACUUCAGACACCAUAUGUGUUAUGACACCGUAGCCACCAACUUCAGCUUCAGCUGCUCUAUGAUAUGUUAAUCGUAGAAAGUUACUCCAUCAAUGCAGCAUACUAUAAAAAAAAAAGGGUAAAUUUUAUACCUAAUUUUUAACAAAUAUACCUGUUUUCCUCCUUAACCCUCAAUUCUCUCUAUCGAAAGAAUAAAACAAAUGAUUUUUUUGAUCUGUCUUUUGUUUAAUUAUAUCAGGGCAUUUUGGUCAUUUCCUCUAUUUUCGUUAAUUUUAACGGAUUCCGUUAUCUUUACAAUUUAGUUCAAAGUACGGGGUGUCGUGUUGUAUAUUUUGAAACUACAGGAGGCUUUUCUGUAUAUUAGGUUUGGUGCAAGGAACUUUUUUGUAUUUUAUCCUAAAAAAAAAAAAAGAAAAGUCAUUUCUCCAUCCUACUUUCAAUACUAUUUUUGGUAAACUUAAUGUUGCGUUUGUUCCAUAAUCUUGGAUGCCACACCAAGACCUCUCCCAAGUGACUUUAAAGUCUAAGUACUGAUCAUUAAAUUCGCAAGACAACACGUAUAAAUUGACGGGAAGAAUUGAUUUAGUACGUUUAGGCCUAAACGGAUCGGGGGCCUCUCCAGUUGAACUUUUCCGUUCAGUCGCAUAAAUUAGUUCAAUUUUAGCGUAAAUCGGUACAAUCUUGAUCGAAAAUCUUAUACACAUUCCGUAACUGGACAAAACUAGGAUUAGAGACGUCCCAUAAUCCAUUCCACGCGCGCUUAAAAUAUUCGGCAGAAUUCAACGCAAAUGAUGAUAUCGCGAGCCUUCGUGGCCAAAACAAAGAAGAGAAGGAUAGGUACCAUUAAUUAAGCCCAAAAUCAAGCAUUAACCAGUGCUUGAAAUUUGCUCAUCAGCCUAUGCAUCUACGAAGAAAGAAGAUUGUCUUUGGUAGCACUCUAAAGUUGUUUUCCAACCACAGUUGGUCGAAGGAGGACAUCUUUCUAAAUUUGCCCCUCUACGUUUCACUCCCUCUUUAAACUAUACCAUCGAUCUACAUCAACUAAUCAACCAAACACUCUUAUCACCACCUUCUCUACUAUAUAAACCAGGUUUCAGAGGAGCUGAUCAAGAACCAUAAAUGGCUGCUUCUAGUCUACCAUCCUUGAGUAGUAGCGCGAUGGGCAUUUUCGUUACUUUGAUGGCGCUGUCGCUUCUCCUUCCUCAGCAUGCACUGGGCAUAACCCGGCAUUAUGAGCUCAAUGUACGUUAAAUGGCAAUAUUGAAAGAACUAAUCAGAUUGCAUUCAUUUUGGUUCUUCAUCAUCAUCAUCAUGUAUCUUUAAGUUGUUGACAUCGAUCUUUUGCAGAUCACCAUGCUUAAUGUCACGCGGUUGUGCCACACAAAGAGCCUGGUGGCUGUGAACGGGCAAUUUCCAGGGCCUCGCAUUGUUGCCGGGGAGGGUGAUCGUCUCCUCAUCAAAGUCAACAAUCAUGUCUCAAACAACAUUACCAUCCAUUGGUACGUAUUUCAUCUUCCAUUGGUACGUAUUUCUCAAACAACUCGUGGAUAAUGUAAGGUUUAUGAUCGAAAAAGAAAAAGAAAAAGAAACCUCGAUCGAUGAUGGUUUUGUGUAAAACAGGCAUGGCAUUCGGCAGCUUCGAAGCGGCUGGGCUGAUGGACCAGCGUACAUAACACAAUGCCCGAUACAAACAGGCCAGAGCUAUGUGUACAAUUACACCAUUGUUGGCCAAAGAGGAACUCUGUUCUGGCACGCUCACAUUUCUUGGCUGAGAGCAACUGCAUAUGGUCCUCUAAUCAUCCUACCCAAGCAUCACGUCCCGUAUCCAUUUGCUAAACCGUACGAGGAAGUCCCCAUCAUCUUUGGUAAUUAAUUAACUACCCAUAUUUUGCAACAAAAAUUUACUGCAACAAGGAAUGAGUUUCCAGACUCUGAAUUAACGUGCAGGUGAAUGGUUCAAUGCCGACACCGAGGCCAUAAUUAGCCAAGCUUUACGAACAGGUGGUGGUCCAAAUGUCUCUGAUGCCUAUACCAUCAAUGGACUUCCAGGGCCUUUGUACAAUUGCUCUACUAAAGGUACACUUUGUGUAUAAUUAGUAAUAAUAAUUAACAACAGCUAACACAUUGAUUAUUAACUCUACAUAUAUAUAUAUAUGUUUUGGACAGAUACAUUUAAGCUGAAAGUUAAAGCAGGGAAGACUUACCUUCUUCGGUUGAUCAACGCUGCACUAAAUGACGAGCUCUUCUUCAGCAUUGCAAACCACACUCUCACUGUGGUUGAAGCGGAUGCAAAUUACGUUAAACCCUUCGAAACAGAUACGAUCCUAAUUGCACCUGGACAAACAACUAACGUUCUUCUCAAGACCAAGCCCCAAUUCCCCGCUGCCACUUUCCUCAUGCUGGCUACACCAUAUUUCACAGGAGCUGGAACCUUUGACAACUCCACCGUCGCUGGUAUUGUAGAAUAUGAACAGUCUACGUCACUUAAUUCCACUACUGCAAUUUCAGUGAAGAAACUCCCACUCUUCAGACCCACCUUACCUGCUCUAAACGACACAUCCUUCGCCGCCAAUUUCUCGAAUAAACUACGCAGUUUAGCAAGUCCACGGUACCCUGCAAAUGUUCCCUGGAAUAUUGAUAAACAGGUCUUUUUCACAGUUGGCCUUGGAACUAGUCCAUGUGACCAACCCCAAGGCUGCCAAGGUCCCAACGGAACCAAAUUUGCGGCAUCCGUCAACAACAUCUCGUUCAGUCGUUCGUACAACCCACCACAGCCCUUCUCCAAUCUCAUUUCUCAGGCCAAUCCAGUGGUGUUUACAGUCCAGAUUUCCCGUGCAACCCAUUGCACUGGUUCAACUAUACUGGAAACCCACCGAACAACACCAUGGUGGGUAAUGCCACCAAAGUGCUGGUGGUCCCUUUCAACACCAGCGUGGAAUUGAUCAUGCAGGACACCAGCAUUCUUGGUGCCGAAAGCCACCCGCUCCAUCUUCACGGAUUCAACUUCUUUGUAGUUGGGCAAGGAUUUGGGAACUACGAUCCAAACAAGGACCCCAAGAACUUCAACCUUGUGGAUCCCAUUGAAAGGAACACCGUUGGGGUUCCGUCCGGCGGUUGGGUUGCCAUCCGUUUUUUAGCAGACAAUCCAGGUUUGUAGUUUGUAUGAAUCCUAGUUAUUGAUUGAUUGUUUCUUUUGUCCAGAGGGCUCAUGACUUUGUUAACCUGUAUCUGUGCAGGAAUGUGGUUCAUGCACUGCCAUCUGGAUGUUCAUACAAGCUGGGGUUUGAAGAUGGCGUGGCUUGUCUUAGACGGAAAGCUUCCCAAUCAAAAGCUUCUUCCACCGCCAGCAGAUCUCCCAAAGUGCUAAUAAAUUUGUUCUCUUUUUUUGGCCUUUUGAUCUCCCUGUUCAGGUUUUUUUGGCGUUUGUUUGUUUGGAUAGAGUAUUAUUUGAAAUAUUAUUUAGAAUAAUUACUUUGUAGUACUUUUUGUGAUGUAAUGUAUGUGAGAUAAAAAAAUGGUUAGAAAUAUAAAAAGUUGGAUUGAAAAAUGUGUUUAUGAUGCAAACGAAAUAUUAUUUGAGAUAUUAGUUUCCUCCGCGGCUUUCUGAUUCUAACCUUCGUUAUCGAGGUUCAAUCUUCAGCUCAUUGGCCAGUUCUAAACUUCUAAUCCAUCUAUUUUAUGGGAUUGACAUUCUUUUACUACUUCAUUUCCAUAUUUCCAAUUAUCUUGUUGAGUUUAGGACAGAGACAUGGAUAUGUGAUUGUUAGGGUGAACCAACACCAAGAUUUGGAAUUUUAAGAAUUCAAUAAGGUUAUGUAAUGAAAUGUCAAUGAUAUUGCCAAGCUUGGAGCAUCUGAUGGAUUUCUUACAUUAAGUUACACUAAUCUAUGAAAAUUCUCUUGUGUUUAUGAAGUUCUUAUUGAUUUCUUAUAACCAAUUUGAUCAAAUUGCACAAAGGUCCAUUCAAUACUAAGUCUCUUUUUCUUUCUUUGUUGGAUGAAGCUAAAUCCACACCUCCACAAUUAAAUCAGCAUUCUUAUAACCAAGAUGAUCAAAGAGACGAUAGCAUUUAUGAGGUUUGAUGGAAACUUUUUCAAUAAAGAAAUUACCCUUUUUUGUGAAAAUCAAUGGUACUAAUUUGGAUUUAAAAUUUACAUAGUUACGAAUGGUCUUAAAAUAUUUCAUAUUUUUCUCAUUCACUUUGAUAGCAUUUAAAUCCAAGAAGCUCCCCUCCAGUAAUAGGGUUAAAAGAACGGAAACAUAAAAAGCCAUGGAAGAAGAAUUCUACUGGCCGGAAGGCACCUUCCACCACAUUCUCUAAUCUCUGUCAAAAAGAAAAAGCCCAAGUCGCUGUUUUGUCUAAGGAUUUGUUGACUGCACGGGAGACAAUCCCUAUAAUGGAGCUUGAUGACCAGUACUUUGAAAACAAGAAUCUUCAGUUCUUGCGCUGCCUGAAUCCAGGCACCUGUAGAGAAGUUAAAAGCGAAGUUCCAAAAUUAUGUCAUAACCACUUCAGCAAGAUACCAAGAACCAGGCGGAGUGCGUAUACAGGAGUUGAGUCUUAAUGACUCGGCUUCAUUUCUCGACGAACAGAUCAAAAUAGCCGUGAAAUAUGGUGUGGAAGUGAUUAAACUCAAACUUUGGGAUUAAAGAUAUGUCGUCCCUGAAAGCGUCCUGCAAGCUAAGUCAUUAACAGAUUUACAUCUUUCAGGGUGCAAGUUUCAAAAGCCGACUAAUACAGAACCAUACAUGUUUAAUAAAAUCCGGUCUUUGCAUCUUGUGGAUGUUUAUAUUGACGAUGAGAUGUUUGAAGAUAAUCAAGGUGAUCAAGCUUCACAGCCUAAAAGAAUUUGUUUUAAAUACUUUUGACCAGUGGACUGAGGAUCUAAUUAAGUAUCGAAGUUGAUGAACCAAGUCAUGAAAAUAUUGAGUUAGGGUAUUUGAGUCCACCUUGUCAUCUUGAAUUCAGGGUUCAAAGUCGCGGUCGCGGCUCGGAUCGUUUCAUAUCAGUUUCGUCAUAUUGGUUACGGUAUCGGCGAGACGUAAAUUUUUGAAAUAUUUAAUAUUUUUAAAAUUGUAAAAAAAUAUGAUAAACAAAAAUAAUUAAAAAAUUAAUAAAAAUAAUAAAAAUUCGCGUUGGCUCGGGAUAACUCGGAGUGAUUCGGCAUGACUCAGCCGUUUCAACCCUUCACGAUGACGUUUCAGCGAGUCAAAUAUUUCGAAAUCGUAUCGUUCUAAUAUCGUAUCGGGAGGGUAUGAGAUGGUGAUGACUCGACCAAGUCGUUUCGGACUCGGCCGAGUCUUUGAACCAUGCUUGAAUUGCAUGCAUCUAAAAAUCUCACAAGUUUAUCGCUGGAUCGUGUAUAUGCCCUGGAAAAAUUCUUUGAUAAUUUGACAAAUAAAUUCCCACAUUUUUAAUCUCUAUACCUCGAUUCAGUGUACGGAUGUGCAAGAAUCAAUGUAACAAGCCACUCACUGAAGCACAUUCGUGUCUUCCCAGGUGAACAGCCAAUGGAACUAGAAAUUGAUGCUCCAAACCUCAAGCCAAUAUUUUCAACGUCAAAAAGUUGCUUAAGUUCAGGUAAAUCAAUUCAGGGAUUCCAAACCCAAUAAAAUAGUGCUCAGAUCUUCCUGCGAAAAGAGCUCCUCAAGUUCAGGUAAAUCAAUUUAGGGAUUCCAAGGAUGAAAAGAGCCAAAAUCCAUGUCAAACUAUGCUCCCUGCCUGAGUGCACUAUCCAUCAAUGUGCUGUCUUACCUUAAUCCGAAAGAAAAGGCUCAAAUCACUGAUUUAACCAAGGAAUGGUUGAGAGCAUUGCAGACCAACCAUACACUGGAGCUGGAUGAUCGGUACUUGCAAAAGAAUAAUCCUCUCUUUCGGGACUUCUCCCAUCCAGAGGACUACUCAGGCUGUAGAGAAGGUAAGGAAAAGUUGUGUAAUUAUGUCAACAGCACUUCGCUAAGAUAAUGAGAAGAGCAUAUGAGGAAUUGAAUCUUGGUGUGGGCUUUCAUGGGAUUGCGAUUUGGCAUCUUUUCUGAACAAAAAGCUUAAAAUAGUUGUUAUAAAACGUAUGAAGGAGGUCCAACUAAUUAUGACAGAUGGUAUACUGAGCCUAAAAGCAUCUUGGAAGCUAAAUUAUUAACGGUUUAUAAUCUUAACAGGUGCAUGUUUGAAAAGCAGUUGAAUGCAAGAUUCCUGUGACACAGAUGAUUUGGUCCUCUGCAUUCAUAUAAGUUUUAAUUUCUAUCCUGUCUUUCUUCAUCUCCUAUAGUGAGAUCAUUAUAAAUCGAUCCCUUUUUGGGAAUAUUUCGAUUCAGUCUAGAUAGGUAUUUCAUGGUGUAACCGCAGUGUAGUUGACAUCCAUCAUGUACUAGGCCUUGACAUUUCCAUGCAAUAUCCGACUAAGAAGUUCAAUGAAGUAUGUGUUUGGCUGCACUAGGGACGUUUAUACUCCAAUUUAAACUGCAUGCACUAUAAGACAUAAUUCAAACUUCAGUCUCAUGAAUUGCAAACUCAUUCUUUACUGUUUUGAAGUGUUUGCUCAUGGUCACAAUUUGCCUGAAUUAAUGAUUUGAAUUGGUUGCUCAAAGUUUAGUUCACGAGUCCUUUAACAAUCCAAAAAUGUUUCAGCGUGUCAAGAAUUAUCUACAAGCUUUUAGCUCCUAACGAGAAGACCUUGUCGGUUUCAUUCAAAAGUAAAUUAUUGGCAGCUGUUCGGUUUGGCUACACAACUAAGAUGGUAAAUCUUUAUUCCUAUACAUUUCCCGGACUGCCCUAUGAUUCUUGUGAUGCGAGGGUUAUUUUAAUCGUCAGGAGCAGAAAACAGAUAGAACACAUCAAUGCUACACUUCAGUCUUCAGCUGUCGCUGUUGCCGUCCAUGGAGGGCGAUGAAACUAAAGCUACUUUGUUCUUCUAUCCAGCAAUUGAAAGGUAACAACAAAGGUCGUCACCAAAGGCAGUACAAUUAUUGUCUGAUUCUGAGCGUAAAACACAUCAGACUUUGAGUAUAACAUACGAUCCUAAUGGCCAACUAGCAUGAACCUACAGAUGAACAACUGCCCUCAAACUUAAGGCCGACAUCAACAGGGCUUACUUCAUCAAGCCAACUGUAAAGCUUAAAUUGCCAAAUGGAAAGACAGAGCCUAUCUGUUGUAUUCUCAUAAAAAGAAGUUCAACAUUGUAUUAAAACGGGCAUCCAUCUCUUCCAACAACUCAGAAAAAAGGUGCUGCAGAAAUAAUGGGAAAGGUGGAAACAAAUAGGCGUCCAUCAACCUCUUGAAGUAUGGGCCAACGUUGCUCUUUAAUGUCUAUUUCAGAUGGUUCGUGACCAGCCAAUAUGCUGGGGAAGCUCCAACGUACUACCAGUACAACUGUCUGAGUUGGGGGUUUUCAGUUUCAAAUUUCGAACUUUAAAUGCGCGUUAGACAUGCAUUCGCAAAGCUAGACAAAAAGUUCGAAUUCUACCUGCACAGUGGAUGUAUUCAAACUUGUUUCCUCAUUAAAGACUAAUUUACAGUCUAAUGCCAUAAAUGCCCCGGAGACUUGAGACAUCAUAUACUGAUGUGGAGCUUGUACGAAAAGGUCAGAAGAGUGGUAAAGGAUUAUCAGAGUCAACCCGAGGGAAAGGACAGAGAGCGCAGAGGUAUUCAGAUCAGCCAAUUAGCUGAUAAGGAUGAAGUGGCUCCCAAUGCUCCCUGAAAGAGGAGUGUGCAAAAUCCCCUUUUUUUUUUUUUUGGGGAUCCAGCGUCAAAUCCACGCCAAAAAGAAAAACAAAAAAUAGAUUUUUUUUUUUAAUGUUUUGAAUGAAUGGAGAACUAGUUGUUCAAGAAGAAUUUGACGAGCUCCAUCAAAAGGAAAGCAUGUUAAAGACCACAAGCAGCAAAAUGCAUUAAAUCCUUUAAGUAAAAGGAAAGCAUCAAGACUAUCUAAAAUAAAGCCCAGAAAAGCAUCAAUCUCUGAAGCUGAAAACAGCAUAAAAAAGCAAGAGCAGUGCCUUAACAAUAUGAAAUAACAAAGCCCUAAAACUAAUGAGAGCUCAAUAUUAGCUUCAAUCCGCUCCCUUUUUGAAUUUGGUAGCACAUUACAAUUAAGCAUAAAUUGAAAUCAAUCCUAAUACUUGACAGCUUUCUACUCAUUAUCUGGCUUUGAAGCUUCCUUGAUUUCUUCAGUGCCAUCAUCCUAAAUCAGAACCAGAAAUAAAUUUACUCAGCCUAAAUCAUCAAUUUGACUAAAUAAACAAACAAACAAAAGAAAAAGAAGAAACCAUUACCUGCAUGUCUGAAGUCCACAAAGUAAGGUUAUCACGCAAAAGCUGCAUUAUUAAAGUGCUAUCUUUGUAAGACUCCUCCCCUAGUGUGUCCAACUCCGCUAUUGCUUCAUCAAAAGCCUAACCACACCAGACAUACAAUAAAACAUCAUACGUAUUAUUGAUCUCAACUGAUUAUUUGGACAUGCAGCUAACUUCUCACUUGAGAAAUCUGGAAUCAGUGUCCACUGCCCAUAAACAACAAGAAAAUAGAAUAGGCAAGACAGAAACUGACAUAAACAAAUUGUUGAAAACUCAUCACAAACCUGCUUGGCAAGAUUACAAGCUCUGUCAGGAGAAUUCAGAAUCUCAUAAUAAAACACUGAGAAAUUGAGGGCCAGUCCGAGUCGGAUAGGAUGCGUGGGAGCAAGCUCUGCGUUUGCAAUAUCCUACAAAGACAGGAAAAACAUUUUUUUCACUUCACCUCACCAAUGAAAAUUUUCAAUUUCUUAACAGUUAGCCAAAAACGAAAACCAUCCUCACCAAAUACAUGCUAAAUGCAGGAAUAGAAAAAAGCUCUCUUUAUUAAUCCAUAAGAAAACCAGGAAAGAAAUGCAUUCUACCAACUCCUACUAGCUUCAAAUGCGCAUGUAAACAACUUGCUUAUCUUAAACCAAGAACAAAAGUCACACAUCCUGAAUUACAUGAAUGCAUAAACGAUAUACUUCAAACUAGCUUCAGAUCGGUUACGGAAAGUCAAAGGCAAUAAAAUAAUCUUAUUUCCAGUCUACUAAUAAAUAAAUAAAUCCAUAAAUAUUAAACUGUUGAACCUAACAAAUGUACAGAGAAUAAAUAAAUAGACAAAUGUAAAAAGAAAAAACCUGAGCCGCCUUGUAAGCCGAGAGAGUGUUCUCGGCGGCUUCCUUUCUCUCGGCUCCAGUUUUAAAUUCAGCUAAGUAGCGAUGAUAAUCGCCCUUCAUCUUCAAAUAAAACACCUUAGAAUCUCCAGUGGCAGCGGAGCCGAUAAGUUUGGAGUCGAGCAGCUUCAGAAUGCCGUCGCAGAUCGACGAAAGCUCAGACUCAAUUUUAGAUCUGUAACUUUUAAUAGCGGCCACGUGUCCUUCGUUGCCACGGCUCUCCUCUUUCUGCUCGAUCGACGAAAUGAUCCUCCAGGAGGCUCUCCUAGCGCCGAUCACGUUCUUGUAGGCGACGGAGAGAAGGUUGCGCUCCUCCACCGUCAAUUCCUCGCCGCCCUCAGCCGCGGAGACGACUUUUUCCAUGAAUUCUACCAUCUCUUCGUAUCGCUCAGCCUGCUCGGCCAGCUUUGCCUUGUAGACAUUCUCUUCACGCGGUGAAGCCAUUGGUGAGUUGGGGAAUUUUAGAGAGAGAAAGUGUGAAUUGUAGAGAGACAAAGUUAGAGUGUGUGACCGUGUGUGUGAAAUGGAAGACGAAAUCGAAGAGCGGUUUUAUGGAGUCCCCCGUUUUAGAGUAUUUUAAUAUUAUUGUGAUUUGUGGAGUCCCCAAAAAAAAAUUAGAAAAGAGAGAAAUAAGUGGAAGCGUAUUUGGAAAAUUUUGGGCUUCGACUACAAGCCCAAACCAAUAGAUAUUGAUCAUGGGCCGAGGACGGGACUAGUUCUUUUCCUGGAAGCGUUAAUGUGGCCGAAAAGAGAGUCCUCGAAAAGUCUUUCUCUGAGUUUUUGUUUGGAUAGUCAAUUUUUUUUAAAAAUUUUUGCUUGCACUAUAAAUACAUCUUUUAAUCACUUUUUUAUUUAUUCAACCAUUUUUCCAUUUCACAUACAAUGCAUCAUAAAAAAGUUGUUACAAUAUUAUCCAACAAAAUUUUCAAAUAAUCUCUUAUCUACACACACUUACUCGAAUGAGAUUAAAGGAAAAUCAAUGGUUCAAAAUCAUGUAAGUUUAUAUUUAGCUUUAGUCAAAGUAUAUAUUGUUGUGUUACAGCAAUUCAAAUGCAAAUUCAAAAUAAAUUGCAGUAUUAUUUCAAAAAAUUUUAAAAUGUAUAAGGAUUAUCCCAAUUUGAGACUUUUCAAACACCCAAUGAUUUAUUCCCACCUAAAUUUCCUUAACUGCACCAUCCUAAUAACAAUUGGCUCUGUUUGGAUUGUAAAUUAUUUGAGAUAUUUUUACUGUAGCACUUUUUGUGAUGUGAUGUAUGUGAGAUAAAAAGGUAAUUGGGAAGAUAAGAAGGUGUGUUGAAAAUUGUAAUGAUGAUGUAAGCAAAUAAAUUUUGGCAAAUAAUCCUCUAUCCAAAUACCGGCAUUUACACAAUCUUCACAUCUGCUAUUUCUUCUUGUUUUUAUUUUUCUUUUUUCUAUUUAAAGUAAUUUAUCCAACUUUUAGCAUUUAACUUUUUUUUCCCUUACUUCAUUUAUUCAAAUUCUCUAGAUUUUCAUGGCACCAUUUUAAACAACAUUGGCGCCAAUGGUGCUAAUUAUUCAUGUAUGACCAAAAUCUGAAGCGGACGGUGUCCCUUUGUUUCAAAUCAUACAUUUAAAGGGGCAAAAUGAACUAAAAUGUUACUUUAGUAGCUAAUGUGAGACUUUGUUAUAGUCUAAGAGCAUCUAAUGUAAUUUGGUUGAAUAUAUAGAGUUAAAAAUUAAUAUAUAUGUAUCUAAUUAUAUAUAUAAUAUUUAAUUUAAUUAGCUAAAACUUAUAAUAAUGAUAUUAUUAGUUAUAUGCAUUAUAUAAUGUAUAUUAGUAUAUGUAAUAUAAUUAAUAUUAUCAAUUAUACUAAUAAUUAUACAUGUUUACUAAUAAACAUUACUAAUUAGUUAUACCAAAUUUAUUAAUACAUUUAUACUAAAUUUCUAAUUACACAUAACACAAUAACACUUUUUUCUUAAAAAAAAAGCACGAUAAUGACUUAGUGAUUGUAUUUGUGUUAAAAGUUAAAAUUUGACUACUUUAAUUGUAUUUGUUUCAUCUGUUGGAUUGUAUUCAAAUAAUUUUUGUUUGAUUGUUUUUAUGAGUUUCAAUUGUAAAAUUAUAAUAAAUAAUAACUUGGUGAUGUGUUCAUAUUUUAUUAUUUAAUUAUUUACUAAAAUUUGAAUAUAAUAAAACUAUAUAACAAAUUUUUUUAAUCCUACAAGUGCUCCCGUGGAGGAAGUGGGGCGAGGGUAGCGGAGAACGGGACUGGGGCUGGGGGAAUUAAUGGCGACGGAGCGGGCGGGAGAGGGGUCCCAGCCCCGCCCCCGUUGGCAUCGCUAAGUUCCCACGAGUUAAUCAUUGUUUUUUUUUUCCUCCGGUCAAGCUUAAGGGCGAAUCGUUCUUCACGCGCAAAGAUUGUUGCAGGCCCAUCAAUGGACGAUUAUUGCAUUGACCGGUAACAAUGAUGCAAGGGCGACUUUGGGUUCUCGAUUAGUACAGAGUCAAGAGUAGACUCAAAACUGACCAUAGCCAUUUGCAUCUUGGGGCCGGCAACGUUUCACCCAUUUUCUUUGUUUUUUUUUUUCGACGUUAUUUAAUUUUUAAGGUUGAAGUAUACAUAAUUCAAUAGUGGAUAAUCUUAUCCACAACCAGCCAGUAUCAUCCCUUAUAGGAUAAUCUUAUCAAAGGAGGGAUAUACCUAAACUCUGGGGACGUGGAAGAUGUCAAACGAUGUAUAUACUAUCAUAAUAACAGAAGUGUAUAUAUUGACAAUCUAUAUAAAAUUAAUUCGAUCAUAAUUUAAUUGCAUCCAAAUAUAUUGACUAGUUAAAAAUGUGAUGUUAUUUUUAAGCAUCACAUCGUAGGUAAUUUUGCUAUCUUCCUAGAAUUUUGCAGUAGGUCUAACUGGCUCUUAUUUGGAUGCAUUUUAAUGUUUGUUAGAUACUUAGAUCAUCUCGUUUAUGAUAGAACCGACCUUAGUCGACUUCCAAUCUUCUCUUCUCUAUGCUAUCCUUUGCUAUAUAUAUAUAUAUAUAUAUAUAUAUAUAUAUAUAUAUAUAUAUAUAUAUAUAUAUAUUCCUUAGCUCAUUUCUAUCAUCCGUGGUGAUAGUUGUGGACUCAAGUCUGGCUACCUUUGCUCCAAGAACUUCCCCUCCAUCAAGAGUAGGGCUGUCAACGACCCUGAUCCGGAUCGGAUCCGUCAAAUUUAUCCGGGUAUGGGUAGGGAUUUAAUUCCGUUACCCGGAUCCGAAUCCGGAUCCGUUUUGUCAAACAAAAAACGGGUCGAGUAUGGAAUAUAGUAUUCCGACUCGUAUUGGACCCGGAUCCGGAUAUAAAUAGAUUAAUAAUUUAAAAAAUAUAUAUUUAUUAAUAUAAUUUGAUUAGGAUGAUGUAUUUGAGUAAUCAAUAUAAUUGGACCCGGAUCCUAAUCAAUAUAAUUUGAUUACGGUGAUGUAUUUGAGUAAGGUUAAUUUGAUUUCUUUUCUUAUUUGAUUUUUUUUGUAUUAGUUAGAAAUUAGUUUAUAAAUAUAUGUUUUUUUCUCAUUUUUGUUAGGAAUUAUAAAUUUUGUUAGUUUUUUUUUCGGGUAGACCCGGAUCCGGAUCCGGAACAUAGAGUAAAAGACCCGUCAGAUAAACGGGUCGGAUGCGGAUCCGAUAUAGUGUGCCGGGUCCGAGUCUGGAAUAAUGAAUUCCGGCCCGGACCCGGCCCGUUCACAGGCCUAAUCAAGAGAAUCCGAAGAGGACCCUGAUUAUGUUACAAGAAACAAUUAUGGUGGUUGAAACUUGCCCAAAAAAAAACAAAGGGAAACAAAAAAAGUGGUGGUUGAGAUUCAUGAUGGGUGUUCUCGUAGUUCACAUGGUCAUGCCUUCCACUGCUGGGUUGGAUUUUUGGCGUGGGGCUUCCAAUUUAUCACUUUGUUUCUUGAUAACCUUGGUCAUCCUCCUCCAUCUCCUCCUUUUCCAACUCUUGAACAAGUGGAGAAUGCACUUGGGAUUGUGUUCUUGUCCUCUUUUGCGGUAUAUAUAUCGUAGUGUUUAUAUAUCAUAUAUGAUGACCACUUGGACCUCAGGAGAUGCAGAGAAAGUUAGAGAGGAGCAGGAACAGGAACAAAGUUGCAUGCAUGGUUCCUACUUCCCAGCAGAAAGCAAUAGAAUAUGAUAAUGCUAUAUAUAGUUAGGUUUGACUGAGGAUUUUUAUAGCUCUGUCAAUUUCGAACCGUAUUUUGCCAUCGACCAUUAAGUUUGGUGAAUUUCUAUUUGGUCCUCCAAAGUAGACUGAAGUAUCGACUCAGCCAUUGAAAGUGCUUUAAGUAUCAAUUAAGGCCUUUAAAAUUGAGAAUUUGGUUUCAAAUCAAUCCUUCGCCUUUUGAAAUUAACAUUUGAAAGUGAUUAAGUAACAAUCACGGCCUCAAAAAAUGAGGAUUUUCCUUCCGCAUAAAAACCUCCCUCCCAUUGCUUUAAAGGUCGUGAGGCAUUUCAGGCUUCUCAAUAUAACUAAUUUAAAGAAUGUGUAAAACUAUAGGCUAAACAUUAUUGUAGAAUUAGUGAUUAGGAAAUUAACUUCCGUCUGAUAGAUUAGGGUUCAAUCUUGACCGACAAGUUUGAUAUAAAAAGGGUAUGGUGUAGUGGGGGGGAAAAAAGUAUUUACAAAAAAAAAAAAAAAAACUAAACACCUAAGUAGGGUAAAACUUGCGUUGGAUGCAUGUUGUAAGCUUAUCCUUUUUUCCAAUAUAGUAGUAGCAUAUUAGCAUGUCUUAAUAGGGCUUGGCUAUUGAGUAUUAUUGAUUUAAAUUGCUUUCUCUUUCUUACUUUCUGUGCAUUCGGGCAUUAGAACUUCAAGAUUGUUGCUUGUUCAAAAACUCGUCUUUUUCCUCCUAUAUAUAACGUAUAACUUGGAGUAGAUCAGACGCAAUGAACCAGAUGACAAGCAUAGUAGGUACAAGAAAACGUACCUGACAUUUUAGGUGUAAAAGUUUUCUUUUUUGUUUUCCUUUUUAAACUUAGCACAUAGAAGCUCAACUUUAUUAGUAAUUUCUUCCAUCGCAAACAAACAGAAAAAGUUUAUUUGGAUAAGAGUUUAUUUGGAUGAUUUAUUUGAGAUAAUUACUGUAGCACUUUUUGUGAUGUGAUGUACGUGAGAUAAAAAGGUGAUUGAGAAGAUAAAAAGGUGGUUGAAAUUUGUGAAGUAAAUUUUUUUAUUUGAAAUCAAGUCUAUCCAAACAAACCCGAUCCCCAUCUACUUGAGAACGUCAUCUGCAAUUACUUGAGCUUUUUUGGCAGUUGAAAAUUUCUCAAAUUCCAUUGCAUCUAAGAUCUAAGAUACAGAAGAAGAUAGUAAGGGGGAUCAUUGUUUGGUGGUUCUGAGAAAACCCUUAAUGAUGUUUUGAAGUUGGUGAAUUGAGAUUGGAAGAGCAAGAGGCGAGAAGCAAAGCAGCAGACAUACUCAGAUCAGAGGAGUUAUUUAGCCUAUUUUAUGUUAUUUAGGAAAGAAAUUAAUUGGUUCAACGUCUCUAGAGCUUGUGAGUCAUUACUUACUUAUAUUUUGAGUUGAUACUGUCAUAUAUGAAAGAUUAAUCUUUAGUGAAUAGUUAUUUACUUAUAUUUUGGGUUGAAACUGCCAUAUAGGAAAGAUUAAUUUUUAGUAGUAAUACCUACUUUUAGAACCUUAAUGAAGUUUAAGAUACUUGGGUCAAAAUUAAAUAAAAUUUUGUACUAACAAGUAACCAUUUCUAAAGUUGAGAAAGCUUUAAAAAUUUAGUAUGGUGACUAAAGUUGAAAUAGUAAGAAUUAAAGGUGUUAUGUUGAAUUAUCCCCUUCCUCUCUUCCUCCCUGAUCCUUUAAUCCCACAUUUUCAUUUGCUUAAUGAAUAAAUAACAACAAAUUCUAAAACAACCAUUUCUUGAAACUGCUUUUAUGCGAUCAACAAUUUGUUUCUUUAGAGACCUGACUAGACCAAGAGGAAAACCAAGGAGAUGCUAUGACACCUCUCUUGGAUUGUUUUGGCUGCAAGUGAGGUUUGAACUCCCCAACUACAGUCCAAUAAGGAACUUAAGUCCCUCCUUGGUGACCAUUGAGUUCAAAUUUUAGGUGAAGAUGAACAUACACAUAAUUGCUUUGGUACAUUAGGAGGCGAAAAAUAAAGAAAAAGAUCAUUCUCCUGCAGGCUAAACUUUGGAUUUUGGUAAAGAGAGGAGAACCAAUCAAUCAGAGGUGGAAUGUCUCUUAUGGUUUUGUUUUUGGUUUAAACUUUGUCAUUACCACUUGCCGCAAGCCCAUAGUAUUCCCGACAACAUUAAAAACAACAAACGUCAUCCCUCAAACAAGGACAAUCGUUACAGCAGCUAUUUUAAUAUAAGUAUAUUUUUUAACAUAUUUUUUAAUUAUUUUUUAUUUUUAUCACUUUUAUAUCUCACAUAAAUCACAUUAUAAAAAAAAUAUUAUAAUAAUUAUUUUAAAUAAUCCUAUAUCCAAACAGUAAGCCCAAAAGCUAAAUAUUCAGAAACAGGUAAAUUGAGACUGAACAACCCCCCAUGUGCUAAAAUUGGUCGGUUUCUUUAGUGAUCAAUGAUAUCCACAAACACCUCAAUAGGGAUUUCACACCUCACAACGACCCCACCAAUUUGAUCUUUUGAUGAUAUUUCUUCCAAACAAAUAUAUUUUUUUGCAGUCAUUUUCUCUCUUGGAAUGGUAGCUAAUGGAUAUCAAACUUUCGAAGUUCGAGAAAAUUUCAUAAACUUGCACAUUGAGCACGAGUCAAACAAAAAAGAAACUUUGUUUAAAAAAUUCUACGAGCUUAAUCACCUACAACAAGAAUUGUUUCAAAUGAUCAACUUUAGAAGUUGCAGAUUGUUAAGAAACUUGAACAUUAAGCACGAGUUAAAUGACUUUGAUCAAGAAAUGCUGUGGCCUUAAUCACCUAAAAUAAAUUUUGCCUCAAAGGAUCAACUUUAGAAUUUUGAGAUUACUCAGAAUCUCCCACAAUGAGCACCACUUAAAAAAAAAAAAACCUUUGAUUAAGACAUGCUAUGAGCUUAAUCACCUACAAUAGCCCCUAACAAGCAGCUCGUAUGGUAACUGCUUUCAAAUUUUCACUCGAGGUCGUCAUUUCAGGCAGGUUCUGCACAGUUGUAUGAAAUUAGUCUGGUGUAAGUUUCAGACAAAAAAAAAAAAAAAUCACCUGUAAUAAAAUUUGCUUCAAAGGAAAAUUUUUAAUUGGUAAUUUAUGUUGAUUUGUUAUAAUUAAUAGUGACUUGUUUCAUUAAUUACUUAGUGAAUCAAAAUCCACAGCUAAUUCCCAUCAAUACUUUUGUUUGCCGCUUGUUUCCUCUAUCUUUAUCUCCUCGUCCCUGGAUUCGGGGUUGUCAAGAUCUGAUCCAGGUUGUGCGUAACAAAAGUUUCAAACAUAAUGCUGAUGUAAUUUUAUGGCAAGCCUUUAUAGAAAAAUUAAAAACCAUUGAAUAUUAAAAGAUAUUUAUUGAUUAUAUAAGCACAUCUUCAUCUAACAUUCUACCACACUUCUUUCAAAUAAUUUAUUUAUUGUGAUAAGCCACAAACUUACGAGGUUCUCUUACAUAUUUUCUCCUAAUCCUAAAAGGGUUAUCUGUGACAGGAGAAAUGAUUAAUAGUUAACACUAAUACUAAUUACAUACGUACUUAGUUAGAACUAGGGAUUAACCUAUCAAGCACCGCAUUAACUCAUUGCACCUAUGAUUGACGUUCAUGCGUUAACGCAAUUAAAUUGUGUUUAGCUUACUAUAUAAAUACAUUCAAACACAGAGUAAUUAUACUUCUGUGUUUAGAUAUUUUUUAAAUUAAUUAUACCUUUGUUUUAAAAGACUAACACCUGAAAUUUUUAUUAAAGAAUAUUUAUUGAGCGCCGUCACUCAUCCCAUGAAUUUCACCAUUUUUUUUAAUAAGCGAAAGGAGUUGAAUUUGAAAUUAUUUACUUACAAUUCCUUCCAAAAAAAAAAAAAAAUCUAAAUCUCAAGAGCUCAAUUGAUAACGUGUCGCGUGUCACCUCAUUACCCAGUCACAUCGCUAAUCCGUGAAACCCCACCAGUCCACCGCAUAAUUUAUUAGCGCCCGGUCCCUACUACUACAGUCGAACAACACUUGAACUAUAAAGUUUUUAUUCCCUUACUAGUAAUUGCAAUCUUGUUCAGAGCUGAGACUUCAAAUUGGACAUUUGAGACACAAUUGCUAUAUAUAUGCCUUUCUCCCUCCUCAUUUUCGUAACAUUCCUCUUGGAAAGAGUAAUCUCUUCUUCCUUCUUGGUUGCUUGAGAAUUAGCCCAGAUCAAGAAAUAGGCAGAGAAGAGAAGGAACAGAGCGAAAAAGAAAAAGAAGAUGUCAUCUUCAAUUGUGAAAUAUGCUUCUCAGGAAACUAACAGCACCCAUGAAGAUAAUAAAGAGCGGAUUGAUUUGCUACAUGGGUCUGAUCUAACGGCUCCUAAUCUGUCUCUCCCAGCUGAAACCUUACUCCAAGCAGCCAUUUCUUUGAAGGAUAAGGUAUGCAGUUCAUUAAAGAUUAAAUUUUUAUGUAAACAUCACUGGGAUGGUUUAUUUUUAUGUGUAUUAUUGUUAGUUGGUUGAGAUGUUUGUUGAAUGUUGGGUGGUUGUGGCGGGCAAAUGAUUAGGUGGUGCAAGUCACAUGGCGAGGACAAUGGAACGAUUAUGGCAAUACGGAUCCAACUAUGUAUACGGGUUUGCUGGGAACAGCUUUCACCUGCUUGCGGGCGUAUGAGGCUACUGGUAGUCUUCAGGACUUGAGCUUAUGCACUGAGAUUGUUGAUACUUGUGCUUCCAUUGCUCGUUCCUCCACCAGGUUAGUGUAAAAAUUCAAUCUUUGUAGUGGAUAAGUACAUGUUUAUGUUUGAUGCGUAUGAUUAAGAUGAUGACAUCGAAUUUUUUAAGCAUUACUCUAAUAUAAUAUUUGACUAAUUUUUAAGGUACUUGAAAAGUUUGUAAAAAGGGAUAUGCUGAGAAUCUGCUCUGACUGGCUCUGCUCUCUAUUUAGAUGAGAUGAGAUUAUAUAUCCCAUCGCAAAUAUGUCACUGACUCAUCUAAGUUUUUAAAUGCUUAGGAUAUUAUAUCAUACAUAACAAAAGCGUGAGCUGAAUUUAGUGGAUGAUUCUCAUGUCUCAAGUGUUGAGACAUUUUGAAUUUUUUUUUUUUUUUUGGUAUGACAUGGCUAAACCUUGGGAUGUAUUGUUGGAAGACAAUUUUAGAUGCGACAAUUUUUCUCCGAACUCCUAAGAAUGGAGGUAAAAGAUCAUGAAUGUGGUCCAAAUAUAGCUAGCAUAUGGGGUUCAAGUUCAAGAUAUAUUGAUGUUAAACAAUCUUCUGCUGUUGGACUGUGGGAUUCAAGUGUCAACCUAAGUAGAAAUCUGCUGAUUUAAGACUCAAGGACUGUAGUUGUCCGCUUCAUUUGAUGAUCAUUUGCUUCUUGCUUUUUUCCUCGUUUUGUAGAUCCCUUGAUGAUAUGUGGUUCCCACUGUAAUCCUAUGAAAUUGUAUUGGAAAAAGAACUCAUAUUCAUGUUGUGGUUAUUCUUGCGCUUCCUAAAUUCCUUUUUAACUGCUGAGGACUGUAUUUGAUCUUUGAUGCUUCAAGCAUUGAGGUAAAAUGAGAGGAGAGAAUAGGGAAAGGAGAUUCCUGGGACACUGUCAAAACCAUGGUCACGGGAAAAAGGACUAAUUUGAUUCAUUGGAUUCCACAUGCAAGAAACUUAAAUUAGCUUGAUAGAGAUAAAGUUCAUAAAGCAAUGAUCAUUUUCUGGAAAGAGAAGAAAGUGAAGAAGAAGGAAAAAAAAAACUUAGAUUUUGGGCAAGUAAAAGCCCAUGGAAUGAAUGUUCUACUGAGCUCUUGCUGUUUGAGUUAUAUAUCUAGUCAUUUAAGUUGGUACUUAGUUUGAAACAUACAUGUAAGACUUUGAGAUUCAAGGAUCGUGUUAAACAGUGAUAGUGAUUUACUCUCUUUCGUCCUUGGACAAUUGUCAUUAAAAUGAGAUGUGUAUGUAAUAUGUAUAAAUAUUUUUUCCAUUAUUAAAAAGAUACCGUGCAACUUUUUGAAAUAUCAAAUGCAUAAAUGUACAAUUACAGCCUUAUCUUUGCAGCAUACAAAUUUACAAGAUCUUUUGGCUGUAAUAAAAGUGAAGGGGACAGGUUUAAUAUCUGCUGCAAUAUCUAAAACAAAGUAUGAAUUUAUAUAUUGCUGGGCUAUUACCCAAGGAAUCUUGUUUCUGAUUACGUCUUCAGGAAGCUUUUGAUUCACUCAUUGCUUUCUCAUUCUUAAAUCGUGGAAACUGUGUUUGGAUAGAGUAUUAUUUGAAAUAAUUACUAUAAUGCUUUUUGUGAUGUGAUGUAUGUGAGAUAAAAAAUAGUUGGGAAUAUAAAAAGGUGGAUUGGGAAAUGUGUUUAUGAUGCAAGCAAAAUAUUAUUUGGGAUAAUUUAGCAAUCCGAACACACUCUUACAUCUUUAUUGAAAACUGUGGACCAGGCACUUGACUUUUCUGUGUGGGAGAGGAGGGGUCUAUGCUCUUGGUGCUGUGGCUGCAAAUUAUUGUGGGGACCAGCAAAAACGUGACUUAUAUAUGGACAGAUUUUUUGAGGUAUCAGGGCUAUAAUUUGCAUUUCUUUUCCCUUGUCCUUUUGCAUUCAGUGAUCAAACCAUAGUAAUAUGAAUUAACUACUUCGGUUUGGCAAAUCUGUGCUGUUGGUCAAUGUGUGCGUUUAAAUGACUGGUGACCUAACUUGUUCACUUAUGAUAGACCAAAUAUUUACUCAUCAUGACUGCAGCAUGCAGGGAAGCAUUUACCUGAUAUGAAUCUUUUUCCAGGAUACUUUGUGAAAUUGCACAUGACGAUAAGAUCAUAGUUGAUUAUAGCUCUGACAGUCUAAUUAAAAGAUGAUUUCAGGUUACUUUUGGUUUUAUUCUAGUGUCAUACGAAAGUCAAUAUUUAUCAGCCAGAUUCAUCUAUAUGAUUUUAGACAAAGACAUCUCAUUAUGCAAAAGGUACUUUUAUCAAUUGGUUUUGUCAACAUUUGGAGGAUGGAACCUGCCAUCUUUUGACUGACAACCACCUUCUUAGAAGUAAAAAAUUAGAUGUCAAUGGCGGAGGUUUAUGCGAGAGAGUUUUAAACUUUACUUAAAACCACUAGGUGGGCUAACAAAUCACUGCAAAAUUUUUUCAAAAGUUUGUCGAGAGGAUCCAACAGCUUCUUGGCUUUCCAGAUGCCAGCAUGUCUUUAUUAACAGAAAAAUUUUUCCCUGCUGUCUGUCACUGAUUUCAAGUCAUAGUAUGGAUGAGAAAGAUUAUGCAGCUUUGAACAACUGGCUGAAUUUGCUUUUAUAGAUAAAUGGGUUGUGUCUGAACCCACUGUGGAUAAAAUGAUUGAAAAGUUUAAGUGGACAAUGAUGAUAGGCCUCCGUCCUCAGGUUGAUUCUUAUGUUUUGGCGUAUCUAGGAAUCCAUGUAGAUAUCUUAGCUAACAAAGUAGCUUCCGCAUGGACUCAGAUCUGACCCAAGGGAACCAACUGGCUGGGGUAGGGUUGAACUAUCUCUCUGCUGGCAUUAGCCCUAUCUCAUGCCUCUGGCGAUUAGUAAACUUGUGCUAAAUCCAUGUAAUCCCAACAACUUUGAACAUUUAAUUUGUCACGUGUGUGUGGCAUUUAAAAUCCUCCAUCAAGUUCUAGAUGCUCUUGGUGGUGCUGAUGUCUAAAUGUCCAAAUGUUUUGGUAGGUGGCACAAGAAAGAGCCCUGCCUGUUGGACCCGAGGAAGGUGGAUUUGGAAUGUCAUAUGAUCUACUCUAUGGACGUGCUGGUUUCCUGUGGACUGCUUUGUUCAUAAACAAGCACUUGGGAGCAGAAGCAGUCCCUAGUGAUCUUCUUAUGCCAGUUGUUGAAGCUGUGCUAGCAGGGGGCAGGGCAGGUGCUUCUGAUAAUGCGGCCUGCCCAUUGAUGUAUAGAUGGCAUGGAACAAGGUAUUGGGGUGCAGCCCAUGGCCUUGCAGGGAUAUUGCAUGUGUUACUUCACUUCCAAGCCCUUUCUGCAGAUGAUAUUGAAGUCGUGAAAGGGACCUUAAGAUACAUGAUGAGCAAUAGAUUCCCUCGUAGUGGGAAUUACCCUGUAAGUGAAGGGAACCCAAGGGACAAGCUGGUUCAGUGGUCUCAUGGUGCAACUGGCAUUGGUAUCACCCUUUGCAAAGCAUCAGAGGUAAGGGGUUUAAUAUCAGACUGAAAUAUUCCAAAGAUAUAUUGUUACUGUCAGACAAAAUUGGUUAGAGAUAGGUGUCUGUAAACUCCUAAAAUUUAAAUGUCAAAAAGAAGUUGGCCUGAUAUCAGAGUAAAGUGAUCUAGAAAGACUAGAUGGGGAGACUAAAAAAUUUUUGCCAAGCAUGUAUACAGUUUGUUAGCAUGCAAAUUGGGAAGAGCGUCUUUAGGGAUUUCAAUAUUUACAAUGUCAAAAAGUGGUUGUCUUUUGUGUCCCUGGAAAACGACAGAAAUGAGCCCUAAUCUUGCAAAUUGAAAAUGUUAUGGUUCUCAAAGUGUGCGAACAAUGUAAGGUUAAUGAUCUUCUUUCCUUGGUGUGUGCAGGUGUUACCAAAUGACCGGGAAUUCCGUGAUGCUGCCAUUGAGGCUGGGGAAGUUGUGUGGAAGAGUGGGUUGGUCCAGAAGGUAGGUCUUGCCGAUGGUGCUGCUGGGAAUGCUUAUGCUUUUCUCUCCCUCUAUCGUCUGACUGGAGAAAGCAUAUAUGAAGAUAGAGCAAAGGCAUUUGCAACCUGCUUGUAUCAUGAUCAAAGAAAUGCGACAACUUCAAGUCCUUCUACUGGAGCAGAUCAUGCCUAUUCUCUUUUCCAAGGACUAGCUGGGGUUGCUUGCCUAUGGUUUGAUUUGCUUGCACCUGAGAAGUCCAAAUUUCCAGGUUAUGAGAUUUAGACUUUUUAGCUCAGAAGAGCUGGAAUGUGAAACGUAGUGUUGCUUACCCUGCAACUUCUACGUUCAGCCCGGCAGCGAUCUGAACAAUGGAGAGAACUCUAUAUUCUUGAAUAGACUACAUAUGAUACUAACUUCGUGUAUAUAAUAAGUUUAUAGCAUGACUCAAAACAUCGUGUGACCGGGAAAUCUCCUCAUCUUAUGUACAAUUAUGUCCUGGCAAACUUUCCCCCGCAUGAAACUUCCCAAUGCCAACGUAGCUUAACAACAAUCUUUACCAUGUUGUAUUGGUAGCUGUAACUCUAGAUUCGAUCUCGACCUCUCUCAAAAGGCCAUCACAUCUUUUUUGACAUGUUACUUAGAUGAUGGCUUUACUUAUUGUGAAUGCUACUCUUCUUAAAAAUUUGUUGCGUUGUCCGUGAUGUAUUGCUUGCCCAAAUUUCUGCUAUCUUAGCCUCUGGUAUGUGGCAUGAUUUGCAAGAAAUGGAGUUUGAUCCAUUGAACUGAAGCUUACGUGCUUCAAUUGUAAAUGUGGAUCCUUAUUGUAACAUAAACUGUGUAGAUGAAUACAUCCUACAACAGACAUGCCUCGGACAAAAAUGUCAAGUAAGCCAACCAAGAUUGCUGUCUGAGAUGCACUUAACAUUUGGCCCAGCUAUCGAUGGUAGGUACCCUGGAGGUUCCCUCCUCCUUCAACACUGAAUGAUUGCCUUGACAGGAAAAGUCUCCAUUCCUUGCAAGUUGCUGCGGUCCCCAUUCGUCCUCAUGCCUGCUGCCACCAAAGAAAAAGAAAUAGCGGAUGCUAGAAGCAAUCAAGGAACCAUCUUGGUGGAAAUUCCAGGACAAGUAAUUAUUAUUACUUGAGCAAAUCAAGCUAUGGAUUGCUCGUUUAUGCACAGCUUUUUAUUGGUUGUUGUAGUUUGACUUGUGUUCUUAUCCUCCUUUUUGUAUUCAUCAGCCUCUCAAACGUGGAAAAAGAUGGGGUGAUUUGUGAAAGGGGAAUGUAGUCCCGCACAAGAGCAUAAAGACAAUUUGCAUUAAAUUGUUAAGACAAAUUUCCCCCCGUGUUGGUUCCCUGUCAUAAUUCACUUUCCAGUCUGAGAAAUGAGAUUCAAUGGCGUUUGCAUUUCUUGAUGGGAGCGUUAAUGGUGGGAUGGAUUCAAAGGUCCUCCUCGCAGGUUAGCGGCUGAAACAUCUCUCCGUGAAAAUUGAUUCCCAUUUUCGAUUGUGUUGUCAUGCUCACAUGUAGUAAGUAGUCUCAUUUUUGCAUGUAAUCGUUGCAUUUGAACUCCACCAGUGAGUGGAUCGGAUGAGCUUUAGGUUUGCAGUUUAGGCCUUGUUCUCGAUUGAUUGUUUUAGAUUUUACAAAAUCUGACGAUAGAAACUGAUUAGAGAAUCAGCAAAAACUACUCUUUGGUUGAUUAUAGAUUUUAAUGUUUUCUAGUGAUUAAAAAUUUAUAAUCAGAAUAUAAAAUCAAUCGAGAGUAUCACAAAAACUGAUUAAAAUCUUUGAUCAUUUAAAAUAAUUAACCGAGAUCAAGUGCUAAUUAGAAAAAUAGUGAAACUCGGUUCUAGCUUGACUUUUAUUGAUCUUGAUUGAAUUAAUCGGUUCUUGAGUAGACAUGAUCGGUUUAAUUAACGUUCAGAUUUAUUAGAGGAUUGAACUAGUGCUAUGGUUGAUUUACAGUCGGUCUAAUUUUCAAAAGAUUUCACGUUACCAUGUGAGAUCAAUGCAACAAAUCACGAUUUGUUCAGAUGACAACUUGUUCCAUAGAUAGCUCUUUUUUGAACCCCUAUUUUAGGCGGGGUGAAAAAUGAUAAUUAAACUAGUUUAAUCUUAUAAAAAUUCAUUAGUCGAUAAGUGAAGGAGUGAACUCCUUUGCACUGUUCUAUUCACGUUGAAGUUUAAAUAGUCUGAGAAUCAAAUUCCAAGUCCACCACGUAGCCUAACUCUUGCGUUGUCUUCGUCAUAGCCGUCCAAGUCGUUUUAAAAUGUUAGCCAGCCCUCUUUUGUCCCUUCUUUCUCUUGUGAAAAGCAAUCGAAUUUGCGUCCGAUUCCUCCUAAAGUGUAACCCAUUCGAGAAUUACGUGCUCCAUGCAUAUACCGAGUACAAGUGUUGAGCAAUAAUAUAAACUAGUUCUUAAGUCACAAUUUGAUUCGUUUGCAGUUAACAAAAAAUAUGAUUAUUAAAAUUAUUUUUUAUAAAGUUUUUUAUGGGUCAGAUUCAUUUGUGACGUAGAUUAUCGUCUUUAUGACAUAAAUCAUCGUAUAGAAAGAUGACGGACGUUGAAUAGACUACGUGGGAAUUAGAAGUUGGUGUGAGAAAAUUGUAAUUAGUGAAUAAUUUGAACACAUAAGUGUGUGCUAAUUCAAAUAAAUAUCUGCUGAUUGUGGAAUUUUUGUUGAAUAAAUUGGGAUAAAUUUGUUGAAUUUUUGCAAUUGAGAGUAGAUUAGAAAUUUCAAAAAAUGAUAUCGUGUGCUUACACCACACAGUAACACUCUCCCUUUAUAAAUCAUAUAAAUAUACUUUAGUGUUUCCCAUUUGGUUCUUUACUUAUUUGGGUGAAAUAUUUCGAACGUAAGAAAAAUUUUCACGUAUAUAUCUUGGUUGUAAUUUCGAUUUAGAUCACUUCUUGUACGUUCUAUUAUUGAUUUGUUAAAAUGCGAGCUGCUGCUUCCAUUUCCUUUUUAUGUAUACGUUGCAUGUAAUAAUAAUGUCUUUUUAACUCUUUAGAUGAGAUAAAUCUUGCAUUUAAUAUGAUAAUUAUCAAUGGAUAAUUAGGAUUCUACAUGAUUAUAAUACAUCUAAGGAAAUGAACCAGUUGACAAAAAUGAUAUGCAUUGACAAAAAACCAGUUGACUACAAAUGAACUUCUCUGUGCUGUCAAACUUCGAUUGUCAUUUAAUAUUUGUUUAUUCUAUGUCGACAAAUUAAGGAUUCAUGAAGUAGCAAUACCAUAUACAACUAUUUUUUUUAAUACCGUUUGAAUUUUUUUACAAAGAAAUUCUAAAAAAAAAAAUUUUGGGUGUUAAAGGGUUUUACAAAGAAGUCUUUGAAGUUCUUUUUCCUUGAAGAGUUAGAAGUUCCCUUAGGAGAAAAAAAAAUAAAAUAGUUUGUUGAGACUUUUGAUUGAGGAACUUAAGCCAACAAAUGAAGAUGAAAUACACUGAAAAAUGCCGGAAAAUGAAAUUGUCUAGCCAACUUUAUUUUUAAAAAAAAUAGAAGAGGGGUGGGGGGGGGGGGGGGGAAUAAAUUGUUCUUGGGCCAAGACAAUGUACAACAAAUAAUGCGGCAAGUCGAAGUAAUUAAAUUUAGCCAAUUCAACCUAUCAAAAAUACAUACACAGAAAUCUAGGAAGAUUAGAGUAAGGACCACCAGAAUUGUAGCCUUGCUAUUCCUUGCAUGAUUGAAAACAACUUUUGCCAUUGCCCUUGCUGUUAUGCCACUUGGACUGAUUCUCUCAGGACAAUUCCUCUAGAAAAAGUUAGUGGCAAAUUGCAAAUGUCCAUCAUAUAUGUUUUCAUUUCUUUUCUUGAUGUGAAUGCUGAAGCAAGAAACAGAAUCAAGAUUGUCAAAGACAAGGGCUUUAAUUUAUCUUCCAAACCCUCUAAUAUAUUGUUCAAGGACUGAAAGAUUUAGGGAAUAAAUUAAACAGUAAGAUGACAUUAAUGGCGGAAAGUGAGGACAAGCAUUCUUAAAUAUUAAGGUUCGUUCUUUGUUAGGAUAACGGCCAAUAAGAUACCAUACCAAGUUGUUGUUGACUCCUCCUCCUAGAUAUCCCAACCAUUCAAAACUCGCCACGUGUAACCCCGCUCUCUCGGGAAACUCAAUAAGCUGGGAUGAUGACUGAUGAUUCGUGCACCAUAAUGCCUACUUAAGUUCCAGUUUGUAAGACUAGGACACUUCAUACACAGACAUGCCAGUAAUCCUACAGAUAGAGAUACCACAUAAAAACACAUUAGUUCUAGUGUUAGUUGGGAAAGAAAUAUAGUAAUUCAAUAGGGGAAGUUGUGCUUAGAUUGUAUACAUGCUUAAUUGAUUGUUUGAGGCAAGUUAUCGAGUUGAUCAAACAUAGGAGAUGGACAGGUAUGAGAUUCUGAAAGAUAUAGGUUCUGGGAACUUUGGAGUAGCCAAGCUGGUGAAAGAUAUCUGGACUGGUGAGCUUUUUGCUGUCAAGUAUAUUGAGAGAGGUCAGAAGGUCUGAUUCUUUUGAUCUUUUCUGCAGCAUAUGUAUUCUCAGUAUGUGUUUAUAGUUUUUGGUUAUGGUAUCAAUCUCUCUCGGAUUGUUCAUAUUGAUUAUUUUUUUGAAAAUCCAUUGUUGUUUGUUUUUAUAGAUUGAUGAGCAUGUGCAGAGGGAGAUCAUGAAUCACAGGUCCUUAAACCAUCCCAAUAUAGUUAGGUUCAAGGAGGUAAUGAAGCUUUGCUUGUUUUUAUCCCAUUUGGUGGAAUAGAUUCUCCUCCUAUGGUGUUUGCAUAUAAAAGAACAUUUUGCUGAAUUCUUUUGUUCUCUUUUAGAUACUGAAGAUAGUAUUUAUUAUCAUUGUCUUCUUCCCUGUAAGACUGUAUGGGGGCUUUUGCUUCAGCUCCAGUCAGCAAGAAAAUCAGGUUCAAUUCCAGAGCCAAAGGCCUGUACCAAGCAGAUGCUGGUUAUGGACUUUCCACGGUCUAAUGUUUGGAUUUCGAGAUUAAACUCCUGUCUCCGUAGCAAUGAGCUCAGCAGUUGAAUUGAUAUAGUUCAAAGCUUCAAUCUUACCAUAAUUAACAUGAAGUGGCUGGUUUGUCUGAAACCAUUACUAGAAGGCCUUUGCCAAAUCUAUCAAAACGAGUUUAAUAGUGUUAUUUAGUUAUAUUUGGCUACUCGAAACAUCUCCUAGCUGAACAUACUGCAUAGUGGUUACCUAUCAUUUUGUUUUUCAAAGAUGUAUGGUGACUAUAUUUGACUUGAGGUGAAGAGUCAAAGUCCUCUCUCUAUCAGAGAACAGAAUGCAGUGAUUCUGAUUUAUUUGCAUGCUAUAUCAUUUGGUAUUUUGAGCCAAUUUUGAAACUUUGUGCAGGUCUUCCUCACACCAACUCAUCUUGCCAUCGUAAUGGAGUAUGCUGCUGGUGGGGAGCUUUUUGAAAGAAUUUGCAAUGCUGGUAGAUUCAGCGAAGACGAGGUAUCCUUAACUCCUAAAAUAUUUCUGAUACUGGCAAACUUUCUUAGGAUGAUCCAUAUGCUUGGAAACUUACAGACUAGCUUCUAAAAGCUUUGAUUUGAUGCUCAACAAAAUCAACUUAUAUGUUUCCACUUUCGGUUGUUUAUGCUUUGCGCGCAGUUACCACUCUCACUAUAAUUGUCAUUUAUUUCAGGCAAGAUUUUUCUUUCAACAACUUAUAUCAGGAGUUAGCUACUGCCAUUCAGUGGUAAACUGAGACAAGAAGCCUUCCUUGUAAUCAAUAACUCAUCCAUUUAGUGCAUAGACUUUUGUCCAUCGCAUGAUAUUACACAAACUUUUGUUCUGCUUACAGCAAAUUUGCCAUCGGGAUCUUAAGCUGGAAAAUACACUCUUAGAUGGAAGCCCAGAACCACGUCUCAAAAUAUGUGAUUUUGGCUAUUCUAAAGUAUUAACCCCUUCUAUCUCAUCAUAUCUCCCGCAGGCUAUAAUGCAGUGCCAUUCAAUUUAGUAGCUAACAAGAAUGAUUCAUUAUUUAGUCCUCAGUAUUGCAUUCCCAACCCAAAUCUACAGUAGGAACGCCGGCCUAUAUUGCACCAGAGGUCUUUUGCAGAAAAAAGUAUGAUGGGAAGGUGAAUAAUUGACUGUUAUCUUUUCUUGACUUUAGUUAUCAUUGUGAGCCUUAAUUAAAACGAUGGACUGACUUGUUAGCCAUGGUCUAUAAAGAUUGCAGAUGUUUGGUCAUGUGGGGUUACCUUGUAUGUGAUGCUUGUUGGUGCUUAUCCAUUUGAAGAUCCUGAGGAUCCAAGAAAUUUCAGAAAAACAAUUAAUGUAAGCGUUGCCAUAACGAAUUUUGAAAUCAUGCUAGUUGACUUCUCCAUCUGCUUGUAUAAAACAUUAUUGCUGUUUGGAUUUUUUGCAGAAAAUUCUGAGCGUUCAAUAUUCAAUUCCUGAUUAUGUUCGAGUCUCCAGGGACUGCAAACACCUUCUGUCUCGAAUAUUUGUAGCUGACCCUGAAAAGGUCAAAGUCUAGACCCUUAUUCUCACCUUUACAUGUUAAUUAUUUCUGGUUUGAUGGAAGGGUAGUAAGUAACCGGAUCAAACACCUGCAGAGAAUAACCAUUCCAGAAAUCAAGAAGCAUCCGUGGUUUUUAAAGAAUUUGACUGUGGAAUUUGUGGAAGGAGAACAAGCCAGCAUUCAAGUGAACAGUGCAGCCAACUAUUCUCAAAGUAAUGAAGAGGUGUUGGCUAUAAUACAAGAGGCGACGAAAUCGACAGAGGGGCCUGGAGUUGGAGAAAAUUUCAUUGGAGGCAGCAUGGAUCUAGAUGAUAUUGAUGCUGAUUGUGAUAUAGAUGAUAUAGAGACAAGCGGAGAGUUUGUUUGUGCAUUAUGAAUGCUACUUCUCCAUAACAGUGAAUUUUGAAUUGUCAUCUAAAAUGUGAAAACUGCAUAUCAGAGCUAGUCUUUCAGGGGCUGUUUUAGUCAGUCAAUCGUUUUAUGUUUCUGGAUCUUGCUGUAUAACUAAUCUUCACUCCUGAAGUCCUUUUCAAACGAUUUGGAAAACCAUAGGUCGUUGUAAGAUAUUGCAUUCAAUUGGCUUUCUGGUAUGACAUAAGGAUUCCACAAUUGUCUCUGUCAUUGCUGUAGAUUUCAGAUAAUUAUAUAUAUCAUCCGAUGCAAGACUUUUACUGAAGCAGCUUGGAAGCAAUCAUUAAAUCAGGUGGAUGCAUACAUUAUUGUUAAACAAAAUUUGUCGGUAAAAAUAUACUGAGAAAAGCAGAAACACGCCCCUUAAGUUGAUUGGUUGUGAUGAUUAUCUUUAUCAUUCAAGUUAUAUCCUCUUCUGCUGACGAAUUUUACGCCUAUAAACAGCUUACAAAACAAAGAUUUUAGGUUCUUCUUUGGAACAGUAAAUGAUUUGGACAUAAAACUUGAAUCAAGCGAGACAAAGAUAUGCAUCUGUAUUGUAGCCACUGACUUUGCUAGCCCUUUUAAUAAUUAGGUAGAAAGAGUGAUGAAGUACAACUCUCGUCUUAGGCAUGUUAGAAGCUCCAUCAGGGUCCAGUGAGGCAUUUUGUCCAUCAGCCAUGCACUUAGUCGUUUUGCAGAGAAAUUAAGCUAAUAUUGGGAUUAGCUAAAUCCACCACUCAAUUGAAUGAUUGAUGGAUGAGACUUCUUAAAAUUGGAAGGAAGGGAUGAGAUUUCCAUGGUCUUUUAUAUUCACUUGCAAACCUAUUGAUUGUCAACGGAUGUUGUCAGGAUUAACCACUGAGUUUUGACACCAGCAAUUGCAAUCGAACUGUGUAAUCAUAGUUUAGGAUCAUAUUGAAAGGGUUGAAAUUGUGCCACGUUCUUCGAUAUUGAUUUUUAAUCGUCGAUCGUAUGACGUGAUUAUAGCCAAUUUACAUUGGCCACCUGCCACUAUAAUGGAGAAGAUUUUAUUAUUCAAGUUUAAAAUGCAAGAUAGAGGCAUUGGACUGAUCAUGACAAACCAUAUUUAAUUAUUUAUUCCUUUGUUUGAGAUGUGAUUUAUUUUGUAGGUGAAGGGGCUUGAGCUUCCACACUCACAAAGAAAAAAUAUGGAAGGAAUCGAAUUCGAGAUCACUCCUUACAUUCUCUUCUGAACCAUCCAAACUAUCUCACUUACACUAAAAAGAAGGCAUAAAAAUAAAUAAAUAAAAAGGUUUAAGCAAAGGGGCUUAAGCAUCCAUUGGAUAUAAAUCAAGCUCGAGUUCCGGAAAUUCUAUCUAAGGCAAAGUUCUGGAAUACUAUGUAACCUAGGUAAUAUUAACGGGCCUCCACAACAGCCCAAAAUUUUAGUCAACGAUUUCAUCCAUUUCUCUAAGUUAAAAAAAAAAGAGUAGAUUUUGUUUAAAAACUUCUACAAUCACCCCCUCUUAAAAAGUAGGUAAUUAGGUUAUAACUUAUAACUUUCUUUAAUCUAAUAUUGCUGAAAAAAUAGAUUGUAAAUGACAUAAUAUUUUUUGGUAUAAGAUUGUAAGCGUAAAAUAAUUAUCUUUUUAUUUUGAAGUAUAUUUGUAGGAGACAAUUUCAAUAACCUUAAAAAAGCUAAAUUUGACAAAAGUGUGUUUAAAUAUAAAAAGUUAAAAUGAACUCAAAAAAAUUGCACCUUCAGGCCCAUCAGGCCCAAUAUCCCAUUUUUAAGCCCAACUUCUUUUAUCCAGUGUUCAGUUUGACGAAAUCCGAACACUUCGAUCAAAAAGCUUAAAAAUUCUUACGUCGGCCCAGUCACAAAACCCUACAUCCCUUCCGCCUCUCACUCAUAUAUAAAUGCCUCAACGCCCCAUCCCGAAACCCUAAUCAGCAGAGUGAGGCACAGAGCAUUUUUAGAGAGAGAAAGAAGACAGAACAUUUCUUCUCUACGGCAGCCUCCACUCGUUUGCUUCAAUCAUGAAGGUUCUUCUUCUUCUUCUUCUUCCUCUAAACCCUAAUUCUUAUCUUUCCCUUUAUCUCGUGCUCUCUUACGCUUGAACAAUUAAAAAAAGGAAUGAGUUUUCUGUUAUUAGUUUCGAAUUUUUAUUCCUUUGUUUUGUUUUGGUGAUUGCAGUUCAACAUCGCGAAUCCCACCACAGGAUGCCAGAAAAAGCUUGAAAUUGACGAUGACCAAAAACUGUACGCCUCCUUUUUGUUGUUCUAGUGCAUUUUUUUACUGUUUAUUAAGGGGAUUUGUUAUAUUCUAGUUGAUUUCAAUUGCGCCGAAGUGAUUGCGUAGUGCAUUUGUUUUUAGGUAAUUUAGCUGAGUGGCCGUAUCAAUUUUUAGAAUUGUUAUCCUGUGAUUUCUGUAUUGAGUUUUAUAACUUAAUAUGAUUGGCUUAUUGGGAGGAAUGUCUCCUCAUAUUGGAGUUAAUUGGUCAUUUCAUCUGCGAUUGGCUUACUGUAAAAAAAUUUAAACGAUGUGAACAUGAACAUUUUAAUAAUUAUGAGCUCUUUUUUGGGUAGGGCAUUAUUAGCUGCACUCUAGUCGGAUUUGAGUUUCGAAAAGUAUUAGCUGGAGAAGUUCUUGGUUGUGGAAUUGUUGCUGAAACAAAGUAAAGUUGAAUUAUAUAUGCCUGGGUAUGAGGAUGCUGAGGUUGUAAAUUGGAACAAUUUGCUUCUAGUUGUGUUUUUAAGUUUCUUAUGGGAAUUAUUAUGGUAGAAAUAGCCAUGGGGCCCCUUUUAACAUGGUUUGGUGAUUGUUUAAGUAUUGUACUUGGUGUAGUUACAAGGCACUCUCUUAAGUUUCCAAUUGGUCUUGUUACGUGUGGGUAACUGUUUGUUUUCAUUGAUAUGGAAAUUGCUUUCGCCUUCCUAUUAUGUUUUCGAACGGUGAUGAUAUUUAUGGUUAUGAGAUUAGAUGCUUGCAACUUUUGGUGAUAGCUGGGUUAUGGUUAUUAGAUUGGAUGGUUGCAGCCCUUCCUGAUUGGAGCUAUUCUGUUUGAACUGGAUGAAUUUAUUGUUGCUUUUACUUUUACUGCAAAUUACUUGGCUUGAUAUGCUUAAUUCUACUUUUAACAAAAGGACCCCUGCUGAUUUCACAACUUUCUUGUUCAAUAAUUAGUCGCAUAUUUUGGGACAAGAGGAUCUCACAGGAAGUCAGUGGCGAUGCCCUUGGCGAUGUAUGUAUCUUGUUAGCAGUCUUUUAGUCAUUUUCUGUUGUUACAUUUGCAUCACUGUGCAGAAACAUGAACAUAACUUGUUUGUAUUUUGCAGGAGUUCAAGGGGUAUGUGUUCAAGAUAAUGGGUGGAUGUGACAAGCAGGGUUUUCCCAUGAAACAGGGAGUUUUGACUCCUGGGCGUGUCCGUCUCUUGCUUCAUAGAGGUCAGAAUCUCCAUGAGAAAAAAGAUGAUCAAACAGGCAUUAUUGCAAUUUGUAGUCACUUGAUGAAUUGUAUAUUUAACUUGAUCAGGCACCCCAUGCUUCCGUGGUUAUGGGAGGAGAAAUGGCGAGCGUAGGAGGAAGUCUGUUCGUGGAUGUAUUGUUAGCCCCGACCUCUCUGUCCUGAACUUGGUCAUUGUCAAGAAGGGUGAAAAUGACCUGCCUGGACUCACUGAUAUUGAGAAGCCAAGGAUGAGAGGUCCAAAGAGGGCUUCGAAAAUCAGAAAGCUCUUCAAUCUGUCAAAAGAAGAUGAUGUCAGAAAGUAUGUCAAUACAUACAGGAGGACUUUCACAACAAAGGCUGGUGAGUUUUUGAUUUACUGUUAUCUUUUCCUCCUUUUAUUCCUUCUUCAAGUUGAAAGCAGAUAUACUCUAGUGCGGAUUGUUGCUGAGUUUGUAUCAAUGUUUAUAUCGACAGGUAAAAAGGUUAGCAAAGCUCCCAAGAUUCAGAGGUUGGUUACCCCAUUGACACUCCAGAGAAAGAGAGCAAGAAUUGCUCAGAAGAAGAAGAGAAUUGCAAAGGCUAAGUCUGAAGCAGCUGAGUAUCAGAAGCUUCUUGCUACCAGGCUGAAGGAGCAGCGUGAAAGAAGAAGUGAGAGUUUGGCUAAGAAGAGGUCAAGGCUAUCUGCAGCCUCGAAACCCUCUAUUGCUGCUUAAGUUAUGAGGAUGCGGUCCUCAUUUUUUGGCUAUGAUGCUUUCUAUAUUCCUUGAGUUACUAUCUGGCAAAUGUUUGGAGAAUUUUGACUGCAAUUUAGGUGUGUAGUAUGAUUGACUUUGGAUUUAUGUUUUAAAGAUUUUCGGGUUCCGGACAGAGUUUUUAUUGGGUUUGACGAUUUAGUUAAUUAUAAUUACAACUUCGUUUAUUCAACUUCCUCUCAGAAAGAUGAGUUAGUGUGACAAAUAUUAUCGUUUGCAGCAUACCAAAGGAGUUUUUAACUUGAAAAAUUCUGUUGAUGUAAACAUUUAGCUCCUAGUUGGAUUAGAAGGAUAGUAUGAGUUUCAGAUGUAGGUCCCAAUGCAUCAACUGUCGAGUUGGAAAAAGUAUCAUGCACUCGUUGUUAUGAGACGGAAAUUUUAGUCUGCUUAAGUCACUGAUUAAAGGGAGUGGCAGUAACAAUGGCAUGGAAGAUGGAGCAGGGAAAUCCUCGAUGUUGCUGCUUUUGUUGGAACACGAGGGAAUGCUGGGUUUCGUUGAUGCAUUGUCCUAGUAAUUUACAGUAGAGCGUACAUUCCUUAGUGAAUGGAAGAAGGGUAGGUUGCAGAACUUGUCUAAACCCCAUCCUUCCAAAGCAGUUUUGGGUUUGUUUCUUUUUGUCGGCAGUGUUUCUUUUUGCCAAUUGACCGAGUCUGGCUAGUUCUGCGGCUUUGUUAUGGUUGCCACGAGUGCGUCUAGGGAAGUAGGAAUAUUUGUCAAGGCUUCUGUAAUUGAUUUCUUCCGCAGAGGACUCAUUGGUAAGUGAUACGAGAGCUUGUGUAUUGCAGCCUAAGUUGCGAACUCGAAUUUGUUAACGUUGAACAUUUUAUUUUCUAAUUGAAUUUCCUAGUAUACGAAAAAGUGAAAAGGGCUUCUCGUGGCAUUGGUAAAACUUUGCUUUCUCCAAUUGAAAUUUCCUGGUCUAUGAAAAAGUGAUAAGGCUUCUUGUCUCUUUUGAUUGGACAAAAAAUUUCGGGCAAAUUAUCGAAUUGGCCCUUAAACUCUUUGUCUAAGUAAAAAUAAGCCCCUCAUCUAUUUUUUGCUGACUUUAAGCCCUCGAACUUGUAAAAUUGGACACCCGUGACCCUUUUAGCCAGUUUCUCCGGUUUUGCAACCGGAAAGUGAAUUCACACGAAUGCCAGUAUGCUUUUAAGAAGGGCAUUUUUGUCAAGCAAAAAAGGAACAACUCAUCUCUCCUCUCUCCUCAUUGACUUCUCCACCGAUGCCGUCUCCCUCUCCCUCCCAUUCGUCUCCUCCCCUAUGGACACCAUCAAUGCCGACGUUUCCCAGAAGCCCUCCAAUCCUUCCAAAAUACACCAUUGCCACCACCCCCGUUGUUCUCACCGCCGUUAACUCCUCCUCAAUGCCCACCCUGCAGACUUCCGAGGCCAAAGCCCAACAAAUUACUGAUUCUUCCUCCUCCCCUUCUGCCAUACCUAUUCCGAUCACUGCUUCCUCCUCCUCUACCACCACCACUACCAUCACCUCCACCUCCGCGUCGACCAGCACUGCUGUUACUUCCACCACAGUUUCCACACCCACGGCAUCUAUGCCCAAGAAUCGGAGGCGUAGUGCUGUCCAAUCAGCUAGGGUUCUGCCCCAGAUCAUCAAACCCCUGUUGGCCGAAGGUGAAAUCAAUGCCGCUCUCCACCACCUCCGCGUUGUUGACCCUUUACUUGCUACCCUGAUCGAUACCCACCAGCCUCCGGCAUUUGAGUCUCACCACUCCCCAUUCCUUGCCCUCACCAAGAGCAUUCUCUAUCAGCAACUCGCCUACAAAGCAGGCACCUCAAUCUACAAUUGCUUUGUAGUGCUCUGCGGUGGUGAGACUGCAGUUCUUCCCGACGAUGUGCUGGGUCUAUCUACUCAGCAGCUCAAACAAGUCGGUGUCUCUGGUAGAAAAGCCAGCUAUUUAUAUGACCAUGGCCUCAAAUCAACUGUGCGUUAGCUACCGUGUUCUACUGUGUGUGGAAGAGAUCGAAAGAGGGGGUACUGAAACCCUAGCGUCGCGCGAGUUUUGAAUCUUUUGACAAAAAUGCCCUUCUUAAAAGCAUACUGGCAUUCGUGUGAAUUCACUUUCCGGUUGCAAAACCGGAGAAACUGGCUAAAAGGGUCACGGGUGUCCAAUUUUACAAGUUCGAGGGCUUAAAGUCAGCAAAAAAUAGAUGAGGGGCUUAUUUUUACUUAGACAAAGAGUUCAAGGGCCAAUUGGAUAAUUUGCCCAAAAAUUUCAGUGGUCAAUGAAUUAUUGUUCAACUUUUGAUCAUCAAAUAAUUUGUCGUCACAAAUUAGCCACUAAAUUAACUAAUCAGCAUAUUCGUCAUCAUUUCGUCGAUUAUUGCUCUUAAUCUACCAAAUAAUCAGAAUUGUGUUUUGGAAAAAAAAAUGCCCGUAUUAGGCAAAUAAAUCCUCAUAUUUUGACAUGUGUUCUGAUUAUUUUGUAGAUUAAGAGCAAUAAUGAAUAUUUUUUUUGUCAAAACACAAUUUUGAUUAUUUUGUAAAUUAAGAACAAUAAUGACGAAACGGUCAUGCGUGUAUUGAUUAGGUAGUUUAAUAGUUAACUUAUAACGAAAAAUUAUUUGAUGAUCAAAUGUCGAAAUGGAUAAUAUUUUUUUUCCAACAAACGUUAACAGCUUUAUAUAUAUAUAUAUAUUAAACUUGAUAUUACAAAAUUUAAUUACAAAAAGGGGACCUGCCCUCAUUUCCUUUCUUGCUAAUUCUAGCAGCCAUACUGGAAAAUCACAUUCCCAUUCUAUGUGUGGUGCAAAUUGAGCUAGUUCAUGGCUGCAUCUAUUUUCUGCCCUAUGCACAAAAGACAAGCUACAGCUUUGAAACCAUUGCCUUAACUCCUAAAGAUCUUCCAAAAGAGUUGCAAUGUUGUAGUUAUUUAGGGGGCGUUUGGUAAGAGGGUAUCGGAAUGGGGUUAUGGAAUAAACCCCAUAACUCAUGUUUGGUUUACUGGUAUUGGAAUUGAAAUAUUGGAAUGAUAUCUAAAAAUAUGUCAUUUCUCCAUUCCUGACUAAGUUCGUGGGUUUUGUCCAAAACCCAAAUCUUAUUCCCGGUCCCUCUUCUUCCUCUCUUUUUCAUUAUUUCCGUCGCCUUUCUCCCCCCAAUUCUCUGCCCUAAUUACCCCUUAAAAACACGACAAGCUGGAGCUUUUGCCGUGGGAAGAAGAAAAAAAACGAAUGAAAACCACAUCUGUGCUACUAGAGAGGUACGCAAGUUUUCUUCUGUUUGUUUUCUUGUUCCAAGUUCUCUAUUCUCCAAGUCCAUAAACAAGAAUAAUUUGUGCAAUAGUGGAUCUUCUUCUGCUGAUUCUCAAUCUUCCAUUUCCCUUGUAGAUUUUUUGCUCUUGGGAGCAGUAAGUACUAUGCUUUCUGUACGGUCCGGCAAAUCUGCACACUUUUCUUAUUUUGUUUUCUCUUCUGAUAUUAGCAGUUAGCAGAUCUUCAUGAUUCUUGAGCUUUAGUGCUUCUUUUUUGUGGGUUCUGGCUCUUUUUUGUUUUGUCUUCCGCUAUUGACUUUGUGGGGUCAAAAUGAAAAUCAUAGUUUAUUCCAUCAUCUUCUUGAAUGCUGAUCUCAAAUGCAACCCAAAAAAUGCAAAAGAAUCCAAAACCAAUAAGCAUCAGAUUUGUAUCAAUAGGAUGAAGUACGGAUCUGCAUCAUAUCACCAAAGGUUCCCCACUCGCAAAUCGAAUUGGAAUUUAGGCGUUACUCAAACCAUUGAUUUUGUGAGUUGAGUUAUCACUUGAAACCCACCUACUUCAUAUUGGUGCAAGAUUAGAAGUGCAGACCGUGGAAUAUUAUAAAUUUGUUAAAUAGCCUGAAACCCGCUUGCGGGUUUCCCCCUUAUGUAAAAUGACUAAAAGCUGCGUUUCUGUUCUAUUUAUAUCAAACACAUACUCUCAAACCCUCACCUGAAGGGUGAGGAUGAGAGGGGAGGUUUGCUGGGCAUCCUAGGGCCCUCCGAUGGGCAUGUGCAACUCAACGCAGCUUGCAUGUAAAAAAAUUUUUUUUUUUUAAGUAAUUUGUUAAAUAGCCUGCCUGAAACCCGCUUGCGGGUUUCCCCCUUAUUUUCGUCUAUUCACUCAGCUCCGUCUGUUUUGACGAUUUUCGUCCACUUUUCAGGUUAAUUCAAACCACGGGGUAUCGACUGGUAUGAUAUGAAACCACAGGGGGUUUUUAUGUAUGAUUGCUUAACCACAGGGGGGUUUUUUGUUGUUUACCCUUAAAAAUACAAAAACCUGCAUAACUCUCCCCAACAUAUGACAAGAUUAUUAAUAAGAUUUAUGUAAUUUUUCUUUUGAAACUCUAAGACAAGGUUUAUUGUCAAUUUUACAGGUAAGGUUAAAAUUGGAAAUUUAUUAGAUUCCAUUCCGAAAGAACCAACGAACCAAACAUCAAGUAUAGUAAUGAUACCCAUUUCAGAUACUUGAACCAAACAGAUGUAUUGGAAUGAAAGGUCUCAUUCCAAACCCAGGAUAUCCGAUUCCAAAUCCGAAUCCGAUUCCAAGCUGCGAACCAAACGCCCCCUUACAUUGCAUGUGUUGAUUUGAUCCGCCACUGAUUUGCAGUCUGUGUCGGCCUCUAUUUUGGUCCACCCUACAUUUUUUUGGCCUUCACUAAUGUAUUUCUUAUAGCUAAUGCUUCCACUAUGCUGGCUUUCACUCUUUCUCUGACGUACUAUCCUUUUUAAACAGCUGUUGAAUUUUUUUUGCCCUUUUUUUUAUUUGAUUGGUAAUGUUAAAACUUUGAUUUUUAGGUUUAGGAGGGACGAGCUGUCACGUUUAUCUCCAGAAAUGUAGAGCAAACAUUCGAAAAGAUGAAGUUACAAGUUGGGCAGGGCCAGCGACGUUGCAAAAUUCUCUAAAAACCCCAAAAGAUGAUAAGUUGUUUAUUUGAAUUUUCCAUAUUCUCUCUUCUAGUGGGGGAGCCACACGUGGCUGUUUCAAACUUAGAAAGUUUAAAAAUUUUCAAUAUUGUUCCCUAUUUGCCCCCUCAGAAAUUUUUAAAAUUCUCUUUCUUAUCAUACAUUGCCCUCCUAAAUAAUUGAAAAACUUCAUAAUCAUUACCUUUCACAAGAGUGUUAGAACUAUCAAAAGUUAAAUGAAGAUAUUAAUACAAAUGUAAUUUUCACUAUCAAUUCUAAGCACAAUUUAGAUUUGAAAACAUAUUUAACGUCGGAAAAAAUGAAUUUUUAAGAUAAAAAUGUUUAUUGAUUUUAAAAUCUAAUAUUACUAUAAUUUUUGUACUAUUAGAGUUUGACCCUAUAACUUUAGGGUCCUGACUGUGCCACUACUCUCUUCUAUGUGGAAUGUUUAAUUGAAAGAAUUAACGAGUUAUUUGGAUUUUUAUAUUUUAUUCAUAUUUGUAUCCAACUCUUUUAAAAUUAAUUUUUUGUAUAUUUUUUCUUUCUACUAACAAUUUUAUACUAAAAAAGGCAAAUUUUCUAUAAAAUCGUAGAGAAAGGAGAGAAAAGAUGAAGGAUUAUAUUUCAUUUUUUUAACUUGAUUUUGAAGGUCACUAUUUCAAUUGUAUUAUUAAUUUGAACAUGAUUACAUUUUCAUUAUUGUUUUUGUUAGGUGCGUCCUUUUUAAUAUAGCGACAUAAAUAUGAUAAUCUAGUAAUAGUAUUUCAGUAUGUUACAUAUAUAUCAUAAACUAGACCAAAAAAAGCCUAUUUCUAGGGUCCAUUGCAUGGAAAAAGACAAAAGAUGUGGUCAUUAUAGGACUUGUUCUAAAUUGAAUAUUUUAUGUGAUUACGGAUUCUAAUUUUAGUACUAUUUGUGAUGUCUUCAUUUGCUUCUAUAUUCAGAUUAUAGAUUUUUUAAUAAUUUAAAAAGUUAAAACUCAUAAUCAACUAAAUAGUACUUUUUGCUGAUUCUAAUUAUUUUAUAUAACCACUUUUAAUAAUCCAAUUUUACAAAAUCUAAAGCAAACGAGAAUAAGGCCAUACUCAUUCUUGUUUUCAUGUUUUAGUUGAAUUACCUAUUUUCAUAAAAUGUGGUUAGCCUAUAAUCUGACAAGUUUGCUGAAAUUUUUUUUUUCCGUAUCGAACAUAAAUAGUCUGCAACUAGGAACAAAAAAGGAGAGAGAGAGAGAGAGAGAUAAGGUUUUCUUGCUUUUUUUUUUUUUGAUGAAGAGAGAUAAAAGGUUGUAUGUGAUUACUUCGGGAGUGACGUCAAAUUCCAUAAGACUGUGUGUAAGCACUUCGCAAAUAUUUGGGAACCCAAUAGGGACCAGCAGGCACAACGGAUCUUCUGUCUCACACCCUGUGCCAUUCUCUGUCCCACUUUUUAUUAUAUUGCUAUUUCUCCUUCAUAAACAUCAUGUGGGACAGAGAAUGACACAGAAUGUGGGACAGAAGAUCCGUUGCGACCAGCAGGAUCUACUACAUAGACAAAAAGAAAAAAAGAGGCCAUCACGGUUUUAAUUGUAUGGAUCAAAGUUUUUAUUCUCUUAGUUCCUAGUUUGUAUUUUAAUAUUUAGCCCUUUAAUUUCCAUCAGGCGGCUGAAUUUGUUCAAAAGGAGUGAUAGGAAUAAUUUGCUUACAAUUACCAGAGUCUUCAGAUUUAAUGAUGAAGAAGUUAUUAGUGGAAUUAGGAUCACAAACGUGGUCGCAUUGUGUGCGUGAUUAGGGAUUCUAGUGACAUUAUCAUUAUUUUUUCGACUUUUUUUUUUGGAUCUCCUACCUACCAUCUCGCCUCUUAUCACUCAAUCCAAUCCAAUUCUCCCCACAUUAUCAUUAUUUGUUGAGUACAAGUGUUCUACAAUUCUCACCAACCUAGGGUACGCACUGAGUUUUAUCUAGAGAUGGUAAUGAGUAGGGUAAAAUUUAAUAUCUAAUCGACUUGAUAACUAAUUCAAUUAGAUAACUGAUAGAUUAUCUGUUAGGGUUUCAUAUUGAUGAGAACUUAUCGAUGUAUAACCCGAGAGAGUUUGAUAAGUCGACACUGAUACCCGAGAUAUAUAUAUAUAUAUAUAUAUAUAUAUAUAUAUGUCUCAAUUUUAUAGCACAAUAACACAUAACUCCAAACCAACUUGUUACACAAGCCUCUUUAAUAUGUAUUUUUGUUCUUUAUAUUUGUCUUAUAAACUGUUCUUUGUCAUGUUUUAUAUAAAACUCAUUGUUUGGAAAUGACCCUGAGAAUGAUUGUACAAGUCUUCUUUCGGAUAUUUGCUGAAAUUGCUGAUAGCUAGAGGCUUGAUUUAACUAGAAGUCUCAAAUGGAUACAAUUAUGAUUAAAAAAGGAAAAAUGUUGAUUCAACUCUUCAUAAAAUUUUGAAUUUUUUACAUGCAGGUUCUAUGGUUCAAUCCAUGUCUAAGACUCAAUCAAUGUAGUGUGUUAAUUUACCAUGAUAUAUAAAUUAAUUUUAGUUUGAUUAAUGUUAAUUUCUUUUUUUGAACUAUUCAAAUUAGCAGGUAGAGAAUACCUGAUGGGUAAUUCAAACUCGUGCGCAAGAGGGUUUGGUAAUACUAAUUAAAACCCGUAGGGUUACCAUAUGGGGUUUUAUAAAAAACUUAGAUAACCCGGUUAGGGUUUUGUUGAAAGAAUUUUGUAGGGUACCGAUCCGCUGCCAUCCCUACUUUUAUCAUCUUUUUUGAUAAAUUGAUAUAAUUUUUUCUAUCCAUAUGGAUUAAGUUAGUGAAAAAAAUUUAACUGGUAUGCUUAUAAAUUUAUCAAUAUUGCUAGAAACUGAAUAUUUGUUAAUAAAGAAAAUAAAUUACUUGAUUUUUUAUACUUCAUUACGGGUGUGUUUGGUAAAACUGAAAUCCGAAAUCUGAAAUCUGAAGUCUAAAUUCAUUAAAUUAUUGAAUUGUUAAGUACUAAAUCUAAUACAUUUGAGUGCAUAUCACAUUUAGUGAUAAGUGAAUAGUUUAUCACUUAAUUUUGGGAGCAAGUUUUGCCUAGAAAAUUCAAUAUCACUUAAUGAAUUCAGAUGUUCAACUUUUGAUUAUCAAAUGGUCUAAAUAUGUUAAUAUCUGAAUCUAUUAAAUUUAAGUGGUGAAUUGGGUUAUCAAACAGGACCUAAGUACGAAUACAUAGUUCUAGAUAAAUAUUUUAAUUAUAUAAAAGAAUAUCUAUUAAAUUGAAAAAAUAUCUGUCGAUAUUUUGACAUAAAUUACCAUAUUUGAUAAUACAUUAUAUUAUAAUAAAAGCAUGUAAAAAAGUUUUUAAAUUUUAGUAUGAUAUCAAUUUCUUAAAUUUAAUAUGAAUGAACAUUAGGAUCGUUGUUAAUUUUUUAUUUAAAUUAUUCAUGCUUGCACAAAUUCACAGUAAAUAAUAAAGAAAAUAAAGGCACCGGCAAAAUACUCCCACUUGUUUAGAAAAGGGUAGAGUGCUCAAAUUCACGAAGGCCUUCAAGAAGUCGUUCUGGUCAGCACUGAACAGCUUCUCUUAUUCUUCGUCCGGCAAUUUACCCAAUGUCUUAUCCAAAUUGAGAAGAUAUACUCCAUUGACCAUAAUCACUGAAAAGAAAGAGACAGAUGUCACUAUUCACCAAUUUUUCUAGGUCCGAUCCUCGUGCUAAUCCAAACUUACUCUGCAUUGCUAUUAAUUCAUGAAGGAGGAGGAUACUCAGGAGCUCUUCUCCCAGCUGAAAUGGAUAUAGAGCAGGAUAUUGUCAUUGUGGGAGCUGGUAUUUCCGGCCUGACUGCUUCUUUAGCUCUUCACAGGUACAAAAUUUAUGGUCUUGAUUUCAGUCCAAAAACUAUUCUACUGCUUUGUAACAUCCUUAGUACUUGACUUGUUAGCUAUGGAUUGCGGAGCUUAGUUUUGGAAUCAUCAGAGUGUUUAAGAACAACAGGUUAUGCUCUUACUCUAUGGCCUAAUGCAUGGAGGGCACUGGAUGCUGUUGGUGUUGGAGAUCAUCUUAGACAGCACUCUGUACCAUUUCGCGGGUAAGAAAAUGAAUUCAUCUCUCCUGUUAAACUUUUUGUGGAUCUCUACAUGCUUAUUUUUACUUCUGUGGCUUCUUCACAUGCUUAUGUUUUGGAAAUCGAACAGCGUCUUCACCUCUAUGUGGUAACUGAAAAGUGAAAAACUCCUGGCGCAGGAUUCAAGUUGGUUCUGUGGAUACAGGCUUCCCAACAGGCGAGCUUGCCUUCGAACAAAAUAAGUAGUAAGUUAUCCUUGAAGGGUUCUGGGCGAACAUAAAGCUUGGAGAAUUCAUAGAUUCAAUACUAAAUUACUAAUUCAUAGCGCCAAUACUAAAUUACUAAUCAUGCAUUAACUGCAACUCCGAAUGAAAUCCAAGCCUUGUAAAUUGUAAUGUUUUGUGUCACGAACUUUUUCGUUCUCAAGUCAGAAUUGGAAAGUUGAAGUUUUAUUUAUUUAUUUAUUUAUCUUGGCUCGUAAAUGGUGCAUAGUUCUCAAGCAAGUAACUUGUGCCACUGAUUUCCCUUUUAUGAUCAAAGGUAGGAAUGGUUGUACAAGAAUGCUCUAAUAUGACAUUUUGCAGUGGAAAACAUGAAUGUCGUCGUGUCAGAAGAAAAGGGCUACUUGAAGCCUUAGAGAAAGAGCUGCCACAAGGGACUAUCUGGUAUUCUUCCAAGGUUGUUUCAAUUGAGGAAUCAGGACAUUCAAAGUUGGUGCAGCUGGCUGAUGGCUGUGUUAUCCGAACCAGGGUAAAUGCCAUGUUUUUCGUACAGUAGGAAUUCUGUCUUUUAUCUCAUCACAUUAGAUUUUUCUGUUUCAUGACGUAAUUGAUAAUUAUCUCACCUUACAUGCGUAACUGAACACUAUUCUCUGAAACAUGAAAAGCUUUUUGUGUAUUAUGAUCUGAAUUCUUUCUACUUGAAGGUCGUGAUUGGCUGCGAUGGAGUCAAUUCAGUUGUUGCAAAGUGGUUAGGCCUUCCGACACCAAUCAGCGCUGGGCGAUCAUCAAUUAGGGGCUUUGCAGAGUAUCCGGCUGGCCACUUCUUUAAGCCAAACUUUUAUAUAUAUUUUGGAGGCGGGGUUCGCUUUGGAUUUGUUCCCUGUGAUGACAAAAGCAUCAGUUGGUUUUGCAAUUUUAAUCUAUCCAAUGCAACUUGUAAGACUCUUGCAUCAUCUAUUAUCCUAUAUGGACACCUACAUAAAAUGCUUUUUCUGCUAAACAAGUAGUGGCAAUAUGCAACGCCAGCCUUGUGGUCGUUUGCCUUUCCGCUUAAAUGUGCUAGAUUCAAGAUGACCUCCUUGCUGAUUCAAUUUUUCUCUAUUAUAUUUCUAGUUCAUGAGGGCUUUGUGUUCAUGUCUCCCAUUUAAUUGCAGGGCAUCAAAAUAUGUCGGAAGAGCCAGUUAAAUUAAAGGCAUUUGUAUUAAGCAAAAUUGUCAACAUUCCAAGGGAAGUAUCAGACAUUGUACAAAGAACUGAAGUCGGAUCAAUUUCCUGUGCUGAGCUAAAAAUGAGACUGCCAUGGGAUAUUUUGCUAAGGGAUAUAGCAAAAAGUAGCAUUUGCGUGGCUGGGGAUGCCCUUCACCCGAUGACUCCAGAUCUUGGACAAGGUGGCUGUUCAGCUUUGGAAGACGGUGUUAUCCUUGCCAGGUGCAUUGGAGAAUCUUUCCUGAAGAUACCGCGGAAAGAUGUUGGAGAUGGAAAAGAAGAUGUUGAUCCAAAAGUGGUAGCAUUCAAGAAAGGCGUUGAGAACUAUGCAAAAGAGAGGAGAUGGAGGAGCUUUAGCCUCAUAGCUGCUGCCUAUGCGAUUGGUUUCGUCCAAGCGAGUGAGAAUAAGUUCAUUUGUUUCUUGCGAGAAAAAUUCUUGUCUAUGUUAACUGUUGCUGCCGUGCUGAAGAUGGCUGAUUUUGAUUGUGGAAACCUUGAUAUCUAUCCACAAUUUUCCUGACUCUCAAGCAGAGCAUCUGUCUAUCGACGAUUUGGAAAGUUCUUUAAGCUUUCAAGUUACAUUCCCAUAAAGGUGAAAUUACGAAGGGUUCUGGUUUUCUUCUUCUAAACCAAAAGAUACAUCUGUAUUUGUGUGGAUUGAACAGCAACCCCAAACAGUUUUAAUCAACUUUAAUACCCCAUGAACCAGACUGUUAAUGAAGAAUAUUUAGGUUAAUUUUUUAAAGCUGCAUACUUGUACUGAGGUCAUAUAGCAUUUAAAUCAAGAUCUUUGCAGCAUUCGUAUCCUGCUGUUGAUGGACAAGAUGCAUUCCAAGUUUUAAACGGUUACAAGACCUUGCAUACCAGGAAAACAGCCUACUUUUGCAGUAAGUAGAACCAUGAUCGGCACAACAAAAACCUAUAGUUGCAUGCUACUGGUCUCUGCUAUGAAUGAGCAGUAUGCAAACAGAAAAAUAGAAAGAGCAGACACAAGUUGCAGGCUUGCAGUUUUCUGGUGCUCUGGUCAUUCAACUGAGACCAGAGUUCGACAAAAUCCAAACGACAUAUGAGACCAGUAACAAAAUUAGUCAUUCAACAUCUACUAUAUAUGAAGCAAAAUGUUAAAGCCUGGACAUCACUCAUCUUUGAUUGCUAGGGCCCUCAACCGGCCAGCUGGAUAUUUAGAGCAAGUAUUCUUUACUAUGUAGCAAUUUGUUUUACAGCAGGUAAAAGUACAGACUUCAGGAGCUCCCAGGAGGUGGUAGAGAAUAUUGGCCAACUUAGCUAGAGUUACAUUACUCAAAUUCUCAUUUAAAACCCAUUUGAUCUGUUUCACCUCCAAAAUUUACUAUUAAUGCAAGAUCAACAGUAAUAAUCCGAUUGUAACAAAUUUCUGCACCAUAAACACGAUAUUCAAUAAAUACCUAAGUUCACUUCUUCUUCUUUUUUUUUUCUCCCCUUUCAAGACUCUAGUAAGAUGUCCACAGGCCUCCUGUUAACAACCCUGCAAUUUUUUCGUAUCUCUCCAGGGCGGCCAGAUUGCAAGUCACCCAUUUUUAUCAUCCCUUGGACAAAAGCCUUGAAGAACUCGUUUUGGUUAGCACUGAACAGCUUCACAUACCCUCUAGUCUGGGGGAAUGUAUACAACGUUUCAUCCGAGUUCAGAAAUCCUCUCCCAUUGACCAAGUCCUUGAAAUACUGGUUAUCGAAUAAUUCAGGUGUUGCAUCCAAAUCUACAGUUGCAUUUUCAUCUCCACCAAGUGGACAAAGCUUGUCUAACUUUUCUCUGUAUUUUGGUUCAAUGGCAGGGUCUGGCCGGCCUGUCCCAGAUUGGUUGUAUAGACGAAACAUAACAGAAAAGCAUCUCCCUUUGCCAAUGGAAUGAGACCCAGAAAGGGCAACUAAAUCUUUAACUGAGAGAUUAAAUCUGUUGAAGAGAUCAACGAGAUAGCUUGCAUUUGCUCUGGGACUUGGCAUUAUAUCGUCUGAAUCUUUUUGGCUUGCUGUUAAACUGUCUAGCCGGCCUAAUUUUACAUCCCAGUUUGGUCCACCACUCUGUCACAACAUAUAAAUCAUGUACUAGUUUGUCUACACUUUCUGGCACAUAACACAUCGGUACAAAAACAAGGUAAGUAAACUUUGAUUCCAGCAGGCAAAAUUUUGCAAGCCACUUCUCUUUCGUUAACCAGGGAAACAAAUUUAGCACAGCAGUGACGUGAACUAGCAUAAAAUAUAAAAUCAUUUCUUUGGCCGAAUGGUUUAUCCCUGUACUAGUUAGAACCAACACAAAUUCGCGUUACAUUUAACCAUAGAUCAAGGAUCAUAUUCAUACACAAUAAUUAUCUAAAAUAUCUGGUUUCGAGAUCAAUUUUCACCUUUUACCUACUCUACUCUGCGUUGUAUGGUUGUGUAAUCAACUAGAAGGAAUGAAGGACCACAACAGUACAUGGCACAAGGAAACAUCUAAUCAAGGACUGGCUCUUCCUUGCCAUCCUUAACUUUCGUUUGUCUUUAUCAUGAACUAGGAUCAAAUGGGUCCUAAAAGUACUGUCAAAAUUUAAAAGUUUCUGAAUUGGAAUAAAAAGAAAGAAAGAACAAAGGAGUUGGUCAUUUUUCUUUGUGGGGGCAGAGCGGCUGGCGAAGCUAAAAACUCUGCAAUAUGUGACAAAUGACAAGUGUAUGAUAUUUUCUGAUGCUUAGUUCACAGGAGCAAGAUCAAGAUGGCAAUUCUUAC
Molecule: long non-coding RNA, 72590 nt
Filed under: Coffea arabica (coffee)
Lineage: Eukaryota; Viridiplantae; Streptophyta; Magnoliopsida; Gentianales; Rubiaceae
Description: long non-coding RNA (CARA_LNC005248)
Source: RNAcentral